This 53089-nucleotide long non-coding RNA is filed under the name Ananas comosus (pineapple). RNAcentral describes it as "long non-coding RNA (ACOM_LNC033018)". Lineage: Eukaryota; Viridiplantae; Streptophyta; Magnoliopsida; Poales; Bromeliaceae. The record is from RNAcentral.
CCGGAGUAAUGCUGAGUAUGAGGAGCACUUGAAGAUUGUGCUACAGCUUCUGCGAGAGAAGAAGUUGUCUGCCAAGUUAAAGAAGUGCGAGUUCUGACUACGGGAGGUUGCUUUCUUGGGCCACGUGAUUUCAGCUGAGGGCGUAGCAGUGGACCCGAAGAAGAUUGAGGCGAUUUGAGAUUGGCCUAGACCGACGACGGUGACUGAGGUACGGAGUUUUCUGGGACUGGCAGGAUAUUACAGUCGGUUUGUGGAAGGCUUUGCGAAGCUUUCCACACCCCUCACACGCUUGACGCGGAAGGGGAUUCGUUUUGUCUGGAGCGACGACUGUCAGAGGAGCUUUGACGAGUUGAGACUGAGGUUGACGUCGGCUCCUAUCCUUGCCCUUCCGGUGAUGGGGGUGGAUUUGUGAUCUAUAGUAAUGCAUCGCACAGUGGACUUGGUUGCGUGCUGAUGCAGCAUGGUAGGGUGAUUGCUUAUGCUUCACGGCAGUUAAAGGAUUAUGAGAAGAAUUACCCUACGCAUGACUUGGAGCUUGCCGCGGUGGUUUUUGCUUUGAAGCUCUGGCGGCAUUACUUGUAUGGCGAGCACUGCGAGGUUUUCACUGAUCAUAAAAGUCUCAAGUAUCUGUUCACACAGAGGGAGCUGAACCUGAGGCAGCGCCGGUAGAUGGAGUUACUGAAGGCUAUGACAUUAGUAUUCAGUAUCAUCCCGGCAGGGCGAAUGUAGUGGCAGAUACGUUGAGCAGGAAAACAGUGUAGAGCCUGAGUUUGACGAUCACUGAGCAGAAACCCCUACUAGAGGAGCUACAGCGGCUGGGACUCGAGAUAGUACCCCCUGGCUCUACAGCGAGGCUGACGUCUCUAGUUUUACAGUCCACUCUGUUGGAUAGGAUCCAAGAGAAACAGAGUGGAGAUCCGUACUUGUUGAGGAUCAGAGAGCAGCUAGACAGGGUGCAAGUUGAGGGUUUUGCUUUGGACAGUUCGGGAGUACUACGGUACAGGGACCGACUGUGUGUGCCUGUGGAUUCUGAGAUCCGAGCAGACAUUCUGAGAGAGGCUCAUUGUUCAACUUAUACGGUUUACCCUGGGGGAACCAAGAUGUAUAAGGAUCUAAAGGCACGGUUCGGUGGCAUAGAAUGAAGAGGGACAUUGGCAGAUAUGUGGCUCAGUGUUUGACUUGCCAACAGGUAAAGGCCGAACAUCAGGCGCUUGCUGGCAAGCUUCAGAGUCUGCCAGUGCCCGAGUGGAAGUGGGAGUACAUCACUAUGGACUUCGUCGUUGGAUUGCCUAGAGCACAGGGUGGCUACGACGCGAUUUGGGUCAUAGUGGACAGACUGACCAAGUCUGCUCACUUCCUACCGGUUCAGACUACCUGGUCCAGAGAGAGACUCGCGCAGCUAUACUUGGAUGAGAUCGUUAGGCUGCACGGUGUGCCAGUGUCGAUUGUAUCAGACAGAGACCCGAGGUUUGUAUCCCAGUUUUGGAGGAGUCUUCAGACCGCCUUGGGCACUCAGUUACAUUUUAGCACGGCGUUCCACCCACAGACAGAUGGUCAGUCAGAGCGGACCAUACAGACUCUAGAGGACAUGCUGAGGGCAUGCGUCCUGGAUUUUGGAGGAGGGUGGUAUCGACAUGUGAGCCUGGUUAAGUUUGCGUACAACAACAGCUAUCAAACGAGCAUUCAGAUGGCUCCGUUUGAGGCGUUGUAUGGACGCAGAUGUCGAUCCCCCCUGUUUUGGAGCGAUGUGGGUGAGCGGAGGACACUUGGACCGGAGAUUCUACUUGAGGCUGAAGAAAAGGUGAGAAUCGUUCGACGACACCUUUUGGCAGCACAGAGCCGGCAGAGGAGCUACGCCGAUACCAGGAGACGAGACUUGGAGUUCCAGGUUGGAGAUCAUGUAUUCCUUAAAGUCUCGCCGUCCAGAGGGAUACGCCGAUUUGGAGUACGUGGAAAGCUUAGUCUACGGUUUGUUGGCCAUUUCGAGGUAUUGGAGCGUAUCGGACCCGUUGCUUACAGGAUAGCUUUACCCCCGCAACUUGUUGGCAUCCACGAUGUUUUCCACGUCUCAGCAUUGAGGAGAUACGUUUUCGAUCCCACUCACGUGAUUGACUUCACUCCACUGGAGAUUAGCAAGGAUCUGAGAUACGAGGAGCGACCGUUGCGGAUUCUUGCUUGGGAGACGAAAGAAUUGCGCAACCGGGUCAUCCCGUAUGUGAAAGUGCAGUGGAGCAAUCACGAGGAGCGGGAGGCGACUUGGGAGCCUGAGACGGUGAUGAGGGAGGCCUAUCCCUAUCUGUUUGAUGCCUGAGUUGAGGUACGUUUCAGUUUCGUGGACGAAACUUUUUGUAGAGGGGGAGGAUGUGAGAUCCCUGGUGUUCUGUCGUGGAGACUUGUCGGCAGCUCUGAAGAGUGUCGGGACAAGUCCGAGUCGCGUUGGCGUCAAAUAGACGCAAAACGGACUUCGUGCGAUGCGAGGGCGACUUAUAGCGAAGAAAUCUGCAAAAUAGCAGAUUUCUCUGCUUGUUGUACCGGUACAACCAGCAGGCUGUACCGGUACAACCAGCGCGCACUGGCUUAACUGCUCUCGGGUUGGCUCUUGUACCGGUACAGGAGCCCGUGUACCGGUACAAGGGGGUAGGUAGAGGGCUGUUUGGUAAUUCCCUCCCUCGUUUGCAUCACCACUCCACCCACUGCUAUAUACAGGUGUAGAGAGCUUGAGAGAGAGUGUUCUUGCUGCUCCUUCUUCUCCUCUCUCUCUAUAGCUUGGUUCGACCGUGGAGGGGCUUGGUUAGAGCUUUCAUCGUCGAAGUCGCGCCGCGGAGUCGUUCGAGGAUACGGUUGCCGCCGUUGCAUCACGAGGAAGCUGGGCGAGUGCGGAUUUUCGCUGAUCGUGACGUCGCACCAGUGCUAGCUGCGGUCGAGGUUGGUUAUCUAGCACUUCCUUCGUUUUGGCUAGUUUUUACUUCUUCGAGCUCAUAGAUGCUGAUUUGCUGAAAAUCGCCGUCGACCGUUAGUAUUUCAGCUCGUACUCGACGUAGGAGCAUCGGAUUGUGACGAGACUUGGUUCUUUGGAUUCAGGAUUGCUAGAGGAAUCCACGAAAUCCUUACUUGUGGAUUUUUGUGCAGGUUAGCUUGGUUGAAACCCUUCUCUUCUCUGCUGCUGUGUAUUUGGACUGAAUUGUAGAUUUUCGAUGUUGAUAGCUUGGAGAUAGUUUGAUUUCGAGACUCGGACAUUUUCAGUCGAUCCAGUUCCGUGCUGCCAGGAAUUAGCUUUGAGGUGGGUUACAUCGGUUUUACUUCUAAGUUCAUAAUCGUCGACAUGUAUAGAUUUCGAUUUUGGAUAAUCUAUUCUAGCUCGAAUUCAUGGAUUAUAUGGUAGAUUGCAAAUUUGAAUUUGGAGCAUGUGGCAAUAAAUUGAGUAGGCUAUACAUGUUGGACUUAGAAUUUGAAUUAGGAGAAAACCUGCGAUUUGGACCUGUCACUUGUUUAAACUGUCUGAUUUAGCUCUAGGAACCGUUAUAAAAUUUUACUGUCGCAGUAUCCUCGAGACGAGUAUUCUAGAUAGUUUAGAAUACAUUUACGCUCAUACUGGUAUGCCGAGUAGAUUUUUACAGGGUCGUUUGGGCUGUUUUGGACUGUUGGGUGCCGUAAGAGUUGACGGUGGACCCGGAUCGCCUUUUUGGCGACAGAUUGUGCCAAGGGCACGUGAACUGUUGGUUAUUAGACUAGUUAGAGUCGGUUACUUGACUUUGGCUUUUCAGAGCCUGAUUGAGCUCGACAGAGAUACGCUGCAUACUCGGUUGGCUUAGCGCCCACAAGUGCCACUCCGGAGUCAGCUUUGUGCUUUCGCGUUGGUGUCGUUCAUACCGGUUGGACUUGCUCUCCACGGACCAGUUAGUGUGGAGGUAGCUGGAUAGUCGCAACUGGGCAGGGACGGGUGUAUUCACAGUCCCAGAGACGGGUAGGUUUACAGUGCCGAUUGGAUUGGGUCAGAUUUGACAUUUCCUACAGUUGGUUAGUGUAGAGCAUGAUAGUGUAGUGAUUAAUAGCGGUAGAGUUUACUUCCUGCUUUUUCCUACUAUCCUGACUCCCCUCUGUAGACUUAGUGGGUGGACCGAUGUUGUUUCGGCGGCACCCACUGAGGACUACUUAUUUUUACAGUAGUUCUCACGCCCAGUUGGUACCCCUGUUUUGUAGAGCCACAGGUUUCGGCUGCUGCGCCUUCCGCGGAUCAGGAUCGAGGCAAGGGUGUCGCGAGUUAGAGCCCUACCCGACGUGCUGAGCUAGAGGUGCCCCUACUGCAGGUAGAUGUUUUGUUUCGAGUUUAUGUACAUAGUAGACUUAACUCGCCAGUGCGAGUAGCUUUGUAUUUUGGAUUUGGACUAUGUAUAUGAAACUCAGUUUAUUUAGCUUCUGUUUUCUCUAGCAGCUCUCUACUACUGUUCGUAGUAGUGUUGGAUUUACAGGUACAGCUGUCGCUUCGUAUACAGGGAAAAUUCCUUUGUAUACGGCGGAUUUGUCGGCGUGUCCGGGGAACGAGACAUCCGGGGCUUGACAGAUUCGGUGCGACGACUUUCAAUAAAACACCUAACUGAUUGCCAUUGAUCGGACUUUGUCCAUCAGCCUAUUCAUAAGUUCAAUUCAUAACCUCAAAAUAAAUCAAUUUUUCCUUGAUCUGUUCUGCCAUCCCACCUAAUAAAUUACUAGGAUUCAUUUUCAAUAUAACUAGUUCUCUGGUUUUCAUAUUUUUGCCAUUAAUUGGUAGCUCAAACUUUCCAAUGGAGCUUCCAACUAUGAAAUAUAUGAAAUAAUCAUUGUAGUCUAAAAACUUAAAUCGAUAGAGAAUGAUAUUUAAAUAGUUUUAUAUUUAACAUAUUUUAUAGUUUGGAUCACAGUCGGAUCUCCUGCUCUGAUACCACGAGAACAACCGUUAUAUUCUAAAAGUUUAAACUGAUAAAGAACGGUAGUUAAAUAUUUUUAUAUUUAACACAUUUUAUAGUUUGGAUCACGGUUGGACCGGUCAAUUCGAUCCGAUAUUUCGAACAUAUGAAGGUGGGGAUAUCAAUGGGUUAGAUUCGGGAUGGAUUUUCAAAAACCCGAACCCGAACCUGACUCCAAACUUGAACCCGCAGGCAACGGAUUUUAAAAAUCCAUAUCCAAAUCCGAAACCCAAACCCAAACCCAAACCCAAACUCGAACCCGAAACAAUUAUUUUUUCUCAAUAUUUCAAAAAAUAUAUUAUAUUAAAUCUAAUUUUGUAAAAUAUAAAUUCGAAUAUAACAUCAAACAUUUAUACACAUAUUAUAUAUAUAAAAUAAAUUCAGGUUCGAAUCGGAUUCGGAUCACGUAUAAUCAAAAUCCAUAUCCGAAUCUAAAUCCGUCGAAAUUUUAUUUUUGAUAUCCAUAUCUAAAACUAUUUCUAUUUAGUAUCAAGUAAAAUUUAUUUUGUUCGAUUUCGGAUUUGAAUAAAAUUUCGAGUAUUUCGUGUUCAUUGACAACUCUGUAUGAAAGCGAGGUUCGUUGACUUUUCCAGGGAGACUGUGGGGUCAAUUUGACUGGUGCCGCGAAAGCCACGGCAGGGAUUGACUCAGUCUCGUUGCCUUGGAGGCUGCGUCCAACGCUAUCACGACGACACUUCGAUUUCUCCGCCCUCUUUUUUUUUUUUUUUUUUUUCACAUAUAUGGAACAUUUUUAAAUAGGAAAAACUUCAAAAACCCCCAUGUGAUUUCGUCGUUUCUCACUUAGCACAACUGUGGUUUAAAAUGUAUCAAAUUGCCCCCAUGUGGUUCGUUUUUAUCUAUUCGGUAGCUUUUUCGUUAAUAUUUUAUUAAAUUAUAUACAAAAAACUUCAGAUAUCUAUCUAGAUUUAUCAAAUAUUCACUUUAGUACCCUUUAACUUUAACUUUAUCACUGAUUUAAGAAAAAAAAUAAUGAAAUUGAUAAGAAAAAGAGAAAAAAGAAAACCACGGGGGGGGGCAAAUUGAUACAUUUUAAACCACAGGGGGCAAAGUGAGAAACUACGAAACUACAAGGGGGGUUUUUGAAGUUUUCCCUUUUAAAUAUCAUAGUUCACACUUUUUUAUUUUAGUACCCUAUAAUUUAAAAUGUAUCAAUUUGUACCAUGUAGUUUCAUCUUUAUCUUUUUAUUAUCGUUUCUAUUACUUUUUUUCGUUAAAUCAGUAACAAAGCUAAAACUAAAAGGUACUAAAGUGAAUAUUCGACAAAUCUAUAUGGAAUAUCUGAAACUUUUUGUAUAAAAUUUUACCAAAAUAUUAAUUAAAAAGCUGACGAAAAGAUAAAAAUGAAACCACAGAACACUAACUUGAUACACUUUAAACCACAUGCUACUAAAGUGAGAAAGUGCGAAAUGACAGGGACUGUCUUUGAAGUUUACCAUUUUUUAUGAAAAUAACUUUAAAUAUCACCAUUAUAGUUUCGUUCUUUUUUAUUUUAGUAUCCUAUAUUUUAAAGUAUAUUAAUUUAGUGCCCUGUAAUUUUAUUUUAUUUUAUUAUUCCCUCCACUAAUGUUUUUUUAUUAAAUCGGUGACAAAGUUAAAACUAAAAGGUACUAAAGUGAAUAUUCGAUAAACCUAGGUGGGACAUCUGAAAUUUUUUAUAUAUAAUUUAACGAAAUGUUAACGGAGGAGCUGACGAAAAGAGAAACUGAAACCAUAGGAGACUAAAUUGAUACACUUUAAACCAUAUGAUACUAAAGUAAGAAAGUGCGAAACUACAUUGGUGAUAUUUGAAGUUUAUUCUUUUUUUAUUCAUUGUUGUUAGGGUAAAUUGCACCUUUGGUCCUUAAUCUAUAAGCGACGCGAACUUUAAUCCAUAAAUUUUAAUUUGUUAUAAUUUUUAACUCUAAUUUUUAGAAUUGUUGUAAUCAAGCUUCAAAUUUUAAUUUAGUUGACUAAAUUUUAAAGCAUUGUUAAUAUAGAAAUAAUGUAAUAUCUUAAUUAUUUGUGUAUCAUUUGCAUGUUAGCAAUAUAUCAAUAUUUAGUCAAUUAAAUUGGGCUAUAGGCUAUAGAACUUGAUUGCAACAAUUCAAAAAGUUCGAGAUAAAAAUUACAACUAAUUAAAGUUUGCGGAUCAAACGUACAGUUUACCCUUCUUAUUUUACGAGAAUAUUUUUAAGAUGAAGAGUCGAAUCAUGGACAUGCAUGUCUACCAAAUUUUGAUUCUCCACCUUUUCACACAUAGUAGCUGGUAAAUAUCUUAAAAAGAAGGGAUGAUUUCAUACAGCUCCCUAUAAACAUAUCGAAUAACAAAUAUAUUCUUACAAAAUUCAUAUUUUUAGAUUUAUCCCUGAAACCCCUAUUGUUAGGGUGCGUUAAAAAGUAUACAUAGUUAAUUAUAAGUAAAAUACUUAAUUUUGAUUAGUAAGUGAAAUAAAUUGACCUUUUUAUUCUUAUAAUAUUAUACCUUCUUUUCUCAAUCAAAAUUCUAGUAAUAAAAACUCUUUUUUCUCUUUCUCUUUCUCUUCCUUUCUUUCCUUCAUGCUAGGUUCGAACCCGUAACUAUAGUUUUUCCGUCACCAUUCAUCUACGACGCUUGUUGCUUUCCAUGUCAAACGCCGGGAAAUCAAUAGUAGAUAGGUAAAUGAGAAAAGGUGUAAGAGAAGAGGUUGCAAUAAUGAUGAAUUGAGUUAAUUUUUAUAGAAGAAGAAGAUGAUCAUUAAAAAUUUUUUAGGAGGAUAUUUCUACAUAAUUAUAACAGUUGAAAAUUUUAAAGGAAUAUAUUUGUGAUAAUAAAAAUGACAUUUCACUUAUCUGCUAUUAAAAAAUAAACAGUGAGCUAACAAUAACAAGUCAGAAAGACAAAUAAGCAAAAUAUCUAAACUCUUUAAGGAACGAAUCUAAAAAAUUUAAUUUUGCAAAGAUAUAUCUGCUAUUCGAUAUGUUUACAUAUUAUCUGUAUGAAAUUGUCCCUAAAAAGAAUGAUGUUAUAUUAUUCUUACAUCAGAUAAAAUGGGAGAGAGCAUAAAAGGAUUACACAUGAUUAAAGUUGAACUAAUCCAAUUUAUAUUAUGCAUUUUGGUUCAAUUAAGUUGAUCUUAGUUUGGUUUGAUUUAUGAUUUGACCAGUAAUUCUAUUUGGAUUUCGAUUGAGUUUUUUUUUUUUUUAAUUUUCCGACUAAACAAUGCAGAAACCAUUUUUUCGUUCAGUUAAGUUGAUUUUUUUUUUUAUUUUAUUAAGUGAUGCUUCCGAAUUUUUUUUUUUUUUUUUUUAAACCAUUCAUUUGCGUCGUUUGAAGGACGGAGAUUCAUUGUUGAGAUUGUUUGGUAGGUAAGUGGGAGGGCGGUGAGGUCGGUACCGGUUAAUCGGACAAAAAUUGUCCAUUUGGUAGGUAAGUGGGAGGUCGGUGAGGUCGGUAUCCGUUAAUCAGACAAAAAUUGUAUGGACAUCGUUCCAUAAAUUAAUUAGUUUGGAAACAAUACGGAUGGCCGCCACGUGACGAGCACGCGCCCAUUCACGCGCCCAUCUCACCCUCCAUUUUUCUUUCUAUGCUUCUUUCUCUCUCCCAAUAGAAAUCAGAAUGCACAAAUUUUUUUUGGAAAAACUUCAAAAACCCUCCUUGUGGUUUCACACUUUAUCACUUUAGUAUCCCUGUGGUUUAAAGUGUAUCAAGUUAGUACCCUGUGGUUUCUCACUUUAUCACUUUAGUACACUGUGGUUUAAAGUGUAUCAAGUUAGUGUUCUGUGGUUUUGCACUUUAUCACUUUAGUAUCAUGUGGUUUCACACUUUAUCACUUUAGUACCCUAUAAUUUAAAAAACUACAGGGUACUAACUUGAUACAAAAUUAAAAACGCAGGGUACUAAAGUGAUAAAGUGCAAAACCACAGGGUACAACUUGAUACAUUUUAAACCACAUGGUACUAAAGUGAUAAAGUGAGAAACCACAGGGUACAAACUUGAUACAUUUUAAACCACAGGGUACUAAAGUGAAAAAAUUGAAACCACAAGGAGGGUUUUUGAAGUUUUUCUUUUUUUUUUUUCUUCUUUUUUCCUUCUCACUCACGCAAUUGGUGUGUGCUCGCCACACGGCACCCAUCUGCAUCGUUCCCAAACUAGUAGUUUGAAAACGUUGUCUAUAUAAUUUUUGUCCUGGUUACUCGGUACCCCUGAGAGGUGAUUUUUAUGGACAUUUUAGUAAGGCUAAAUUACAGAAAAUCUUCCUAUCAAAACUCGUUUUUUCACUUUUCCUUCCUGUCAUUUAAAAAUCUACACUUUACCCCACUAAAUAAUGAAAAAUAUUCACUUUGGAUCCUGCCGUCAGUGUUCCGUUAGGGUUCCGUCUAUAUCCCAUUAUUAUAUAUAUUUUUAUACCGAAAAUACCAUUCUACAGAUAAAAGAGAGUUGGGGAAGUAGAGGAAGAAGGAGAGAAUAUUUUGGUCAAUACUAUUAACACCGUACUCUCUGUAAACAUUUUUUUAUUUUUUAGGGUGGCAAAAUGUACGUUUUUAAAUAACAGGGAGGAAAAGUGAAAAAUCGGAUUUUGAUAUGAUGGUUUUAUGUAAUUUAGCCUUUUAAUAAUUUUGAUUAUGGGAUGGUGUAGCAAGUUUGAAAAUGCUUGAACCGCGUCCACAGCAUCAACGGGGAACUUUCAAUUUUAAAUUUUUAAAUUUUAAAUCUAAAAUAUAAAUAUAAAUUUUAAUUUUAAUUUUAGUUUAAAUUUUAACUUAAAUAAAGAAUUCAAAUUUAAUUUUAAGUUUAAGUUUAAUAUUUGGAAUUCAAAAUUCAAAUUAAAAUUUAAAUUUAGUGUCAAAAAUUAUAUUUAAAUUUUGAAUCCAUAUUCGAACGUAAAUUCAAACAUGUUAAUUCAGGUUAAAAUUUGAAUUUUGAGUUUGACUAUUUGUUUAAAUUGAGAUUCUAGUAAAUAAUUCACAUCGAAGUUGAGAGGGUCUCCAUACAUUUUAAUAUUAAAUUUUAUUUUAAUAUAAUAUAAAAUAUUAUAAUGUAUGGAUAGAUCAUGUGCACCUAAUAAUUUUUAUAGAUCUCUCUCUGAGAUGCUUAUCAUGAAUUUUUAGGGGAAAAAAUAUUAAAACUUUGAAAAUUAUAUAAAAAGAUAAAUUUUAGAAACUAUUUUGAACUUUUCUGUAAAGUUAUAAAUCUAUACGAAAAUUUCAAAAGAUGAAUAGUUGGGGGGCUUAUUUUAAAAUCGGCUGCAAGUUGAGGGGCAUCCUUAGAUUUUUACCUUUCUAGCAUGUGGGAUUGCAUACAAACUAAAAGAGAAUUACUUGUUCACAUUUACAUCCAAAAAAUUAAGUACAGGAACAAACUUAUUUUUUAUUUAGUUCGGUAUUAAAUGCGAGUAAAAUUCAGCUUUCGUUUCCAUUCAGUAUUUUUGUUAAAAUUACGAAAAUUAUAUUUAUUGACAUCCACUUUUAGAUGCCCGGAGCUCUUGGGCUAGAGCGCGUCGCAUAGGUUGCCAAAGCAGAGACAUCAGUGAAAGAAGUGAGGACCACCCAAAAGAAGCUCAUCUUGCAUGCACCAUCAAGGUUUAGGGUUUAGGGUUUAGGGCUCAAAUAGGCAAAAGCACUAAAAAGGUCUAGGGAUGGGUGUGCAGACAGAGGUCAGCUUUGGAAAGGAUAAGACGUAUCACGAAGAUCAUAACCGGCGUUUGGAUGCAGACAGACCCAAGGGGACGCCUGCCAUCACGAUAGAAGGGUCCGGCGGCAGGAAUGAAGUUGACGAAAGGCUGCGAUGACGUAUAGGCUGCGACAGAUGUGACUGUUAUGUACAACAUGUGCGAUAUGCACAGUUCAAGCAGAGAAGUGUCGAAAGCACAACAUCCGAAGGCAGUGAUGGAAAUGAGCAGGAAAAGCAUUGGCGGCCACAUCACAGCACCUAAAGAUAUAAAAGGAGAAAAUAGAUGCAUCUUCAACUACCAAGCAUUUACAAUUACAGCGAACCAAACGGCACCUGAGAGCAGCUAUAAGUUAGAAUUGCCGACCCACACUAGCAGAGUUCUUCACCAAACACUGCUCGGCUCUCGUAUGCCACUAACUCUCACCGAGUCGCUAUGUGCAUUUUGCUUUGGCUUAGAGACCACUGAUUUGCGACGGUCUUCUUCACCCGAUCUCGGUUCGGACCAGCAGUUGAGAUCCGAUAGGCCAAUAUAGGACUCCAGUCUGGCCCAUAUCAAGGGCCCCCAAAUCACUCGUGGGGGGCCCUCAACUUAAAAUGUAUCCCAAUCCUAAUAUAAUUAGAAUUUCGACUCUAAUUAAUAUCUAAAUUCAUUAUAAUUUAUCACCAACAGAUUUAAAUAUUAAUUCUAAUCCAACUGGAAUUCAACUAUAAAUCUAACCAAAACGUAACAGAUCAUUUCUCUUAAAAUUUAAUAAAUAUCUUCAGAAAACUAUGGAGUUAAUAGAAAGCACGAAAUGACCAAAUUGACCUUACUAUAAAAAAAUUAAUUGUUAGAUGUGACUCGAAAUCUACUAUCGAUUCAGGUUCGGGUUUAUGACUCGCCGAUAGCUUCGCGGUGCGACCAAUUUGAAAAAGAAAAUUAUGGAGGAAAAAUGAAUGUCUUUGGUGGGUAGCGGAGGGCUCGNUAUGUGCAUUUUGCUUUGGCUUAGAGACCACUGAUUUGCGACGGUCUUCUUCACCCGAUCUCGGUUCGGACCAGCAGUUGAGAUCCGAUAGGCCAAUAGGACUCCAGUCUGGCCCAUAUCAAGGGCCCCCAAAUCACUCGUGGGGGGCCCUCAACUUAAAAUGUAUCCCAAUCCUAAUAUAAUUAGAAUUUCGACUCUAAUUAAUAUCUAAAUUCAUUAUAAUUUAUCACCAAUAGAUUUAAAUAUUAAUUCUAAUCCAACUGGAAUUCAACUAUAAAUCUAACAAAAACCUAACAGAUCAUUCCUCUUAAAAUUUAAUAAAUAUUUUCAGAAAACUAUGGAGUUAAUAGAAAGCACGAAAUGACCAAAUUGACCUUACUAUAAAAAAAUUAAUUAAUAUUUUUAAAUAUAUUUUUGCUAUUUUUAAUGAUAUUUUUGAUAUAACAGAAUAGUGGUGGAACCCUGAAGGAGAGGGAUUAAAUAUAUCAGCUUGAAAUUUUGAGUGGGUACACUAUAGAUUUUUGAAAGCCGAAAAUAGAAAAUAAAAAAGAUAGAUAUUUACAGAAAAAUUUUUAUAAUAUAAAUGAAUAGAUUAUGGAAAAGCACCUUGUAUUUAUAUCGUUUGGUCCAAUUACCUACUUGCGUAAAAAAUUAUAUGAAUUUUAAUUUUGUACUUUAGCAUCUAAAAUUUGAAAUAAUUAUCGAAUUUAGACGCAGAACUUCACCGAAAUAGUUUGGCAUGUAUAAUAAACUUAAAAUUAAAGAAAAUAUGUAUGUUAUUGAAUAAAAAUAUUUAUGAGCCUGUUUAAUAAUAAAGUGUAGACUUGAAAUUAACUGCAAAUAUAUAUAUAUUUUUUUGUAUACAUUCCACAUCAAGAUAUAUACAAUAUUUACAAAUUAAUAAUUUAGUUACAAGCUUAUACAUUAAUAACUAUAUAUACUUCUAGAUGUAGCUAGAAUCGUUUACUUCCAUGCAGUUGUCAGAGGGAUUGGACUUCUGAAAAGUUCAGAUAGUUUUUGUAGUAAAGUUUUAAUGAUUCCGAUCGACGAUGAUUCGAAUGUCACAUUAUCUAAAACGACACGAAAGUAAACUGCUUUUUAUUUCUCGAUACAGUCCAGCUUUAUUUAUGGACGGAUAGAACGAGCCCGCUAAGUGCUGCUCUUGAGCUGGAGCAAUCUGACCCCGAAAAGCGCGAGCAGCGUGCAGGACGGCACGAAGACGACGUCGGGGAUGAGGUUGAGCCGAAAAUUCUUGACCGCCGGUAUAUUCUGCCCCGUCCGCUUGAGAGCCAUGGCGGCAGCCGGCGCGGCGAGGCCCGUCGUGAUCAUGGCGCUGGGGUUUGUCUUCCGUUCCUUCAAAUGUUUCUCCAUAAACUCGAAAAACGUCUUCGGCUUUUCUGUAGAUUCCUUCCAUUUUUCGUCGUAGAAGACCUGCGUAGUUCAAAGUGUGGAGAAGCGGUGAGUUUCUGGCUUUGUUUGGGAUUACGAGAAAAUUGCAUUAUAUGUGAUCCGAAAGCAUAAUAAGAAAAUGCUACUUUUUUUUUUUUUUCCAACUCUAUUUUCUUGGCUAGCAUUCCAUCCAAGCAGGGCCUUAAUUUUUUUUCACUUCGCUAUCUCAUAGUUUAAUAGUACGGAUGUCAAUGGUACGGAUAUUCGAGAUUUUAUCCGAACCCGAAUCCGAAUAAAGCAAAUUUAUCCGAUGUUAAAUGGAUAUGGCUUCGGAUAUGGAUAUCAAAAACAAAAACUCGAUGGAUAUGAAUAUGAAUAUGGAUUUUGACUGUACCCAAUCCGAACCCGAAUUCGAAUCCGACUUGAACCCGAAUUUAAUUUACAUUAUAUAUAUAUAUAUAUAUAUAUAUAUAUAUAUAUAUAUAUAUAUAUAUAUUUGAUAUUAUAAUUGAAUUUGUAUUUUAAAAAUUUAGAUUUAAUGUAAUAUAUUUUGUAAUAUUGAAAAGAGAAAUACUUGUUUCAGGUUCAAAUUUUCGGGUUCAGAUUUGGAUUCAGGUUUCAAAUUUUUUGGUCGGGUUCGGGUUUGGAUAUGGAUUUUUAAAAUCUAUGGGGUUCGGGUUUCAGGUUUGGAGCUAGGUUCGGAUUCAGAUUUUUGAGAAUCCGCCCUAAAUCCGACCGGUUGACACCCUAUUUAAAAGUGCAACUGCUCUCCUAUGAUUUAAUUUUUAGUUUACUAAAAAAUUUAUGUCAAAUAAGAUAGCAAAGUAAAAUUUUUUUUACAAUCACAUCAUAGUAGAGUGAAAAAAUGCACUAAACCACAAGUGGACAAAGUACAAUUUUUUAAACCAUGGAGUAGCAAGGUAAAAAUAAGCUAAAUCACAGGGGACCGGCAGUAUAUCCAACUUUUUGAACUACGGGGUGAUAAAAUAAAAAUAAACAAAAUUAUUAUUAAGAAAAAAAAUUCAACAUAAUUUCAAAUUUUUAGACCAAUUUAAAAACUAGUGGUAAUAUACAUGAUUCAAAUUAAAACAAAAUUUUAUGCAAGCGGAUAAUUGAGAGAAGAGCAAUGCCCAAGAGGGUAUUUUGUAAUUUAACCUAUAAUUAUAUAUUGAGAAUAAUAAAUAAAUAUAAUAAUGAAAACAAAAAAAUAAAUGGAAAAAUGCAUGGAUUUUCCCUCAACUAUAGGCCAAUCUAAAUAGCCCCAUCAUUUUUUUUUUUUUUUUGGUUCCAUUGAGACCCCUCAACUUCUAACUUUGGUUAUUUAAAUUAACGGUUCUAUUAGUUAUUUUAAUCAUUAAUCGACUUAGUUUUAUUUGCUAAACCAAGAUUCAAGCCAUUAAAUUUGUUGAAAUUACUAAUUAAUUUGAUAAAAUCUCCAAAUUUUUUUAUUAAUAUCACUUAAUUCCAAAAAAUUAGAAUCCAAGUGGUCUUAUUAAAAGAACUUGGUUAAUUAUGUACGUAUAUCGUAAAGUAAUAAAAUUACAUAUUUAUCCCUACAAAACUUUAUUUAUCAAAUGUAUCCCUCCAAAGUUGCAUUAAUUGCCUAUAAAUCCUUCUCCAUUAGUUGUCUAAUUAAAUUAACUUUUAAUACUUUUUAAAUUUUAUAUUUAACAUCACUUAUCAUUAUCAAUAAAUUUAGUCUAACUUUCAUGUUAUUUAAGUUAUAAAUUUUGAAAAAGGCUUAAAUCAAAUGAUACGUUAAAAAAAUUACACGUUUAUUGUAUUAUGUUUUUAUCUUUAUUGUUACAAAAAAUCUACAGCGAGUUAGAAUAUAGCAAAGUGAAAUAUUUGAUAGCACCCGAGAAGUUAAAUGUAAUUUUUUCAAUCCAAGAUGGAAUAAUUAAUUGAAUAACAACAGGAUUUAGUGUAACUUAUUGAGUUAAAAAGUAUUGACAAGAUUAAGUUGUAGGUCGUUAAAAAAAGAGGCUACGUAGGAAUCUUUUAUCGAGGGUACAACAAUAAAUAGUGAGCCAGUUAACCCGGUCACUAAAGAACUAAUUUGUAUUAUUUAGAGCUUUAUUGAAAAUAAAUUAUAUAUUAUUAUAUAUAUAUAUAUAUAUUAAUAUAUAAUAUAUAUAUAUUAGGUUAUAGGAGUGAGGGGUACUAUGUUUGGAAGCACGAGCUGUCCGGCUUAAGCUCGUUUUAUUGUUGCGACUUCGAAUGGUGAUCGGCUUCUGUUAACUUGAUCUGGCAAUAUUUGAAGUUACUAAAAAUAAAUUUUCUGUAAUUUUUUGAUUCAUUUGCGCUAGGGGUGUGAACGAAUGGCAGAAGUCCAAAAUUUACAGUGAAUAAAAUCUUGACAAAUGGUGUAAUUAUACUAAAUUUUAGCAUCAAAAUAUUGAUCUUAGUUUUAUAUAGUAUAGAAUUUUCCAUCAAAUUUACGUGUAUCUUGGAUAUUUUAACGUUAACUUGCAAACGGGCACUCACACGGGCCUUAAAUUAUUGAUUUUGAACCCUUAGAUCAUUAGGCAAAUGACAUCGAAAAAUCAUAAAAUUUAUUUUCUAAGUACUUCAAAUAUUAGAUCAUUAGGCAGUAUGAAUAGGUAACCCACGAUAGUAUAUUAUAUUAUAUAUAUAGUUUUAGUGCUAGGACUCUAUCCUAGUAUUAGGAUAGUAGCAUGCCAUCAAAUGUGUCUUGAGAUAGGGUAUUCGAAUCGAUGAUCGGAGCCGUGGUUUGAGUUUGUCUAGGUAUUUUGAAAUAUCUAGAAACUAAAUUUCAUAAAUUUUAAAAAUUAUUUACAUGGUGAUCAAAGUGUCGUAAAAUCGACAAUUUUUGACGGCCUAUAUGAGCCGUUUGCUUGUUUAACGGUGUAGAGCAAUCCAAAUUGCUUGAAUUUUUGAUAGAAAAUUCUUUAUACUAUUUAGAUAAUAUUUGAUAACUCUGAUUACGAACUGAGAGAGUCUAACCUCUAUUUUAAGAAGGUUAUUCAUUUAUGAUCGUUCAUUUUUCAACUUUUAAGAUGAACUUGAUAAUGAUUUUUAAAUAUUACAAAAUUUGGUUUCUAAACAUUUCUAAUUGUGUAGAUCAAUUUCAACGGUGCCGAUUAUCAAUUUGAAGUUCCGAUCAAUCAAAUCGACUUGAUAGGACAAGGGUCCCAAUCUUAUUAAUAGGAUUGUUUACCCCUCCUAUAUUAUACUGUUGUGGCUUUUGGAAGGACACAUUUGUGAUGACAAAAUUGACAUUUCACUUAUUUACUGUUAAAAUAUAAACAAUUAAUGAUAAAAAAUCAGAAUGAUAUAUUUAAAAAUAUUAAAAAUUUUGCAGGACAAUAAAUAAAAAUUGAAUUUUAUAAGAAUAUAUUUAUGAUUCAUUAUAUUUGCUUGGACCGGUAUGCAUUUAAUCCUAUACAAAAUUAUCUAAAAUAAUUUAGUUGAGGGGCUAGUUCAUGAUUCCUAUAGUUGACGGGGGGGUCUCUGUACAUUUUUGACCUAAAAAAUGAAUGAGUAGGUAGUCUUGCCUUUAUUUCCUCUCUGCUCGCUGACACAUCAUAAUGCUGUCCCGGCAAGGCUGCGUUAAACUCUCUGCACAACAAUUAAAAAAAAAAAAAGAAAAGAAAAAAGAAACUGAUGAUGCACGAAUCUUAAAGCACAAUACGGAAAUUGGUGAGGUUAGUAUGAGAACCAUCAACCAUUUUGAUUUGACUAUUCAAUCUUUGAAAAUUUUAAUUUUAUUAUCCAGCAUUCAAGUUGUUUGAUUUGAAUCAGUCGUCGUCGAUACUUUAACUUCAAAAUUUAAGCUAAUUAUUUACUUUAAUAAAUAGAUUAACUUCAUGUAGGUCCCUGCAAACACAAUGAAUGACAAAUAUAUCCCGACAAAGUUCAACUUUUAUAUAUUGUCUCUGCAAAAGUCCCGAUAUUUUCAAAUAUAUCCCUACUGUUAGAAUCCAUUAAAAAAAUUUAAUUAAUCAUAGGUUAAGUACUUAACCCUGGUUAGUUUUUGAUAUUUUUAUCCCUCUUAUAUUAUAAUGUUAUGUCUUUUGAAGGAAUAUAUUUGUGACGACCAAAUUGAAAAUAUAAAUAGUUCUCUAACGGUAACAAAUCAGAGGGACAUAUUUGAAAACAUUAAAACUUUUGCAGGAGUAAUAACAUAUGAAAGUUGAACUUUAUAAGAAUAUAUUUGUCAUUCACUAUAUAUAUGUUUAUAGAGGGACCUAUAUGAAAUUAAUACUUAAUAAAUUUAUGGUUGCCAGAAUUGCAUGUAAUAUACUAAUUAAACCUAUAUUUUGAAGUAAAAAUAUUGUUGACUGAUUCAAAUUAAAUUAAAAUUUUUAUAUAUUAUCUAGUCAAAUAAAAAAGAUUCGAUAGUUUGAAUAAGUUUUGUAUGUUUUUACUUUAAAAAUAAAUGAAGAAAGAUAGGGAGAAUUUUCAACGUGAGAUCAUAUUAUUCGCCGUCCGUCACAUGAACAGAAUGGCAGAUAAGGCAGUCUCACAUUACAUUACGGUCCUCUCUGCCAAUUUUUGGUAAAAAUGUAUGGUGACCCCUUAACUAUAGCCUGUUUUGAAAUGAACCCCUCGAUUUUCUUUUUUUUGGAUUAAAAUACCUUAACUUCUAAGUUUUUAAGAAUUAAGUAAUUUUAGUAAAAUAUAAAUAGAAAAACUUCAAAUACCAUUCUUGUGGUUUCGCAAUUUCUCACUUUAGUACCUUAUGAUUUAAAGUGUAUCUGUUUCGUACUCUAUAGUUUUAUUUUUCUCUUUUUGUUAUCCCCUCCACUAAUUUGUUUGUUAAAUCAGUGACAAAGUUAAAAUUAAAAUAUACUAAAGUGAAUAUUCGAUAAAAUAUAGGUGGAGUCUCUGAAGUUUUUUGUAUAUGAUUUAACAAAAAGUUAACGGAGGAGCUGACAAAAAGAGAAAAUAAAACCAUAGGGUACUAAUUUGAUACAGUUUAAGCCACAUACUACUAAAAUAAGCAAGUGCGAAACCAUAGGAGUGAUAUUUGAAGUUUACCCAAUAUAAAUUAGAAAUCUAAGCAAAUCAUUAGUAUUUCAUCGAAUUCAUGACUUCAAUUCAGUGAGUUAUUAAAUUUGAUAAAAUUUUUAACAUAAUUGAGCACAAAAACUCAAUUAAAAAAAUAGAACUUGAAGGGAUCUCAAUUAAAAAAAAAACAAAGCAAAACAAAAAAAGAAAAGUUGAGGGGACUAUUUCAAAACAGCAUAUUGUUAAGAGGGUCUCCAUUCAUUUCCCUAAAUUUUCUACUAAUUGGAUAAGUUUAUUAAAUGUAUUUAUAUAUAAAAAAAAACUUACUUGCAAAAGAUAACAAAAUUGAUAUGAAAAUCUUCGAAUGUUUUUAUUUCCUUGUCCUUAAAAUAUCUCUCAUAGACUUGAUUUGUCGCUGCUGCAUUAAUCCCUGGAAGACCUGUAAAAAUAUAUAUGAAGUAUGUUUAUUUAUAUAAACAUUAGAAAAAUAUUGGCUUAAAACAAAAUAUAGCAUCUAAAAAAUAGUGAAUGAGAAUAAGAGAGACAAUAAUUUGAUACGAGCGAAAAGCUUAAAGCUGUCAGAGAAUCGUAUCUUAAUAUUUUAUAUGUAUAUCCAACACUGCACCUCUGAUAUGCGAAGCUAGCAAGGUAUAUAUUUAUUUUGUAUAUUGUUGUUUGUUUUUAUUUUAGGCUAAAUUACAGAAAAUUUUUCUGUCACUAUCCACUUUUUCAUUUUCCUCCUCUGUCAUUCAAAAAUCGAUACUUUGCCUUCUUAGAAAAUGAAAAAUGUUCAUUUUGACCCCCGUCGUGAGUGCUUCGUUAGAGUUCCGUUUAUAUCAUAUUUUAUAUAUCCAAAAUAUCCCUGAAACGACCCUCCUCCUUCCUCAUCCUCGGCUGCGCCGCCUUGCCCUCCGCCGCGCCGCCUCGCCCUUCGCUGCCUCGCCCUCACCCACCUCUCUGUCCGUGCCCACACACACGCCCUCACCCUCACUCUCCCCCAUCCCGAAGAAGAUGAGGGGCAAUUUGAUUAUUUUGUUACAGCAUACUCCCUGUGAAAAUUUUUUAUUUUUUAUGAAUGUAAAGUGUAGGUUUUUUUAAUGACAUAGGAGAAAGUGAAAAGCAAAUAUUGACAGGUAGAUUUUCUAUAAUUUAACCUUAUUUUUAUACAUUGUAUGGUAUAUGUUAGAGAGAGUAAGGCUUGCAAUUCAACUCGCUGUUCGAAAGCUAACUCGUGUUUGGACCUAGAAGGAUUAAAGAGAGUAAUAAAAGAGAAUUUAGUGAUGCUAAAUAUUUGUGUAAUUUAGCCCAUUUUAGGCACCUAAAAUUAUACUAAAUUAAAACAGAGAGAAUAAAAUAAACCAAAAGCCUAGUGUGAUUUAAAAACUUAAGCUGCAAUGAACAACCUUGUUUCCAUAUGUUAAAUUUGGUUUUUUAGACAUAAAGCUACAACAUCACUUAUCAUUGAAAAAUGUUAAUGAAGCAUAUAGCUAAAAACAAAAUGAUCCAGUGUAGUAUAUAUAUAUAUAUAUAUAUAUGUAGAAACAUGCAUAAAUGUACUAAUUUACUCAAAAUAUCAUAGAUGAUAAAAGAGGGGGAAAAGUAAUAAAAAAAGGGAAAAAGAAGGGGUUUAUGUUGAUCUUACCAAAUUUACCCAACAAGCUCAUGGGUAAACCCAUUGAGGCCUAAUGUGGGGAAGAAGAGGAGGAAAUAUCACAAAUAAAUGAAAUAUUAGGGUUUGUGUACCUUAUAUUGUAUAGGAGUUAUUGUGUGUGUAUAUAUAAACAAGGAAGAGAGAGAGAGAGAGAGAGAGAGAGAGAGAGAGAGAGAGAGAGGAAGUUUGGAAUGCAUUCCUUUCCCCUCUCCUAGUCACACUCUUUGUUUAGAGAAAUUAUUCCAUGGACCAAUUGUAUAUAUUCAUACGCUUGAUGCACCACAUAAAGCAUUUUAAUCUACACGUCACAUACAUGAACACCGAAGACGUACGAAAUACGACAUGACUCGGAUAUGGCGAACUCAACAGUUUAAAAACAAAAAUUAAAACAUGAACACUGCGUGAAUACUGCUAAUAAAGUAUAAUAUUAUUAAUGUAAUAAUAAUUUGUAUUUAUUAUAUAUAAAAUAUUUAGUUUACUAAAAUAAUAUUUUAUUUUUUAUACUAGUGAAAGUUACUUAAUAAACUUUCAUUGAUAGUUCAUAUAUUUUCUAAAAAAAUUCAAAAAAAUUCGUCACCAUAUAUAAUUUAUUUAUAUUAUUUCAAAAAAUUUAUAUGUAUUCAUUAAAAGUUAAAAUAUUAAUUAUCUUAUAUUAUAUAUAUAUAUAUAUAUAUAUAUAUAUAUAUAUAUAUAUAUAGUUGAGCUAGAAUACUAUUGAUAGCAAACAGGUCUCAUUGCCACCCAUUUGUUUUCAAUGAUGGAGCCUCUAAAUUGACGAUCGGCACCGUUGAACAUGAUCUAUACCAGUUGAAGUGUUUAGAAAUCAAAUUUCAAAUCUUUUCGACAUCAUUUGCCUAAUGAUCAAAGGGUUUCAAAAUUUGUAAUUUUAAUGGUAGAUUUGAGGCGUUUUCUCGUUUAACGGCGCAAAGAUAUCCAAAUCAAUUGAAUUUUUGUUAGAAAAUUCUUUAAACUAUUUAAAACAAGAUCUAUACUCUUGAUCUUGAUUACAAGACUCCUAUCAUCACUUUUUAAAGAAUAUUCAGUUUCAACCGUUCAUUUUUGUGUCCACUCGAUGGAUAAGAGAACAAUAUCGAAAAUAUAUGAAAUUUGAUUUCUAAACACUUCAAGUAGUAUAGAUCAUGUUCAACGGUGUCGAUCGUCGAUUUGGAGGCUCCAUCAUCGAAAACAAAUGGGUGGCAACGGAGCCCAUUUGCUAUCGAUAGUAUUCUAGCUCAACUCUAUAUAUAUAUAUAGAAUUAGGUUGGAAAACUAUUAAUAGUAAAACGCUUUUUUUGCUAUCAAGUUUUUAACCCUUGGAUGAAAAAUUAUAGGGUCAGAAUGAUAUUAGUCGGUUAGAGUUGAGUGGUCCUCCUAGGGUUGAGUGGUCCCCACUGGGUUAUAGUAUUUAAUCCAAUGGUUAGAAAUAAUGAAAAGAGUUGAUUCAAAAGCAAAAAAACUGGUAGCAAUAAUAAAAUUUUACUACUAAUAGUAGCCCAGUCCAACUCUCUCUCUCUCUCUCUCUCUCUCUCUCUUUAUAUAUAUAUAUAUAUAUAUAUAUGCAUAAAAAAAGUGAAAUAAAAAAAUUUCAUAGGAAUGCGCCAUGAACGCACAUCCAUGGUGGGUUUGCGUCAAAUACGAGUCUAGCACGAACAAAGAUGUGUCCGACACGGACAUGCGCGACAUGUAACCGCGUCAUAAUACAUAGAUUUUAAUAAUUUACACCUUAAAUUAAAAUUUAAUUUGAUAGAUGUUAUAUAAUUUACCAUAUAAUAUUUAUAAAGCUAAGUUUAUAAUGGGACAUUAUCCAAUUUAGGAAGUAUUCGUGUCUAAAAUUUAUAAAUUUUUUUAUACAUAAAACACAUUUUCCUCAUAAAAUUUAUUAGGUGUGGCGUAUGAGAUGUGCUUAUACACCCGGUGCAGUGAAUAGUUUCUUCCUUUUUAAGAGGCUAAGUUGUGCUUUGAUACGUGACCUGUUGGGGAGGUUUCCUUGUUAACCUCUGCGUGGAGAACGUAGGAAUACGAUUCCGGCUAACUGAAGUGUAAUUACAUUUUUACCCCUGAAUCAUUAUUAUUAUUAGGGAAAACUUCAAAAAAACCCCGUGGUUCCACACUUUUUUAUUUUAGUACCUUGUGGUUUAAAGUGUAUCAAGUUAGUAUCCUGUGGUUUCUCACUUUAUCACUUUAGUAUUCUGUGGUUUAAAGUGUAUCAAGUUAGUACCCUGUGGUUUUAUUUUUGUACCAAGUUAGUACCCUGUGGUUUUUAAACCACAAGGUAUAAAGUGAUAAAGUGUGAAACCACGGGGUACUAACCUGAUACACUUUAAACCACAUGGUACUAAAGUGAAAAAGUGCAAAACCACAGGGUACUAACUUGAUAUAUUUUAAACCACAUGGUACUAAAGUGAAAAAAGGUGAAACCACAAGGGGGCGUAUUUGAAGUUUUUCCUUAUUUUAUUAUUAUUAUUUUAGAGAGAUAGGUAUCAUUCUACCUGCUUAAACUUAGUUAGAAAUAUAAAUCAAGUAGAAUUUGAACUUGGAACCUCGGGUACCAACCACCAAACUCUUUGCCACUUGCGUUAGGGACGUUUCGGUCUCCAGAGUCAUUAUUACUGCGUUUGGUUGGCGAACUAAGACUUCGUUUGAAAUUGCAAGAAGAUUACGUUACGUGUUGUGAGAAAAUACGAUGGAAAAAUACUCUAUUUGCCACUUGCGCUAGGGACGUUUCAGUCUCCAGAGUCAUUAUUGCUGCGUUUGGUUGGCGAACUAAAUUUCAUUUGGAAUUGCGGGGAGAUUGCGUUACAUGCUAUGAGAAAGUACGAUGGAAAAAUAUUCUAUUUGUUUCCGUACGUAAUAUUACAUUCCGCAUAUUGCGAUGAGUCGGUUAUAAUAUAUUUUUUGCGAUCUCACCGGAGAAUGUAGAAAUAUAUCUCUAUAUAUUUUUACCCCAACUCCAUUUUAUCUAAUGUAUUCAGAUAGGCCCCAAUAACAAACUAAGCCAAAAUUUUGGAGAACAACUUUUACUGUUUCCAUCGACCGUUCCUAGAGCAAGUAGCAAGGGCUUGGUGGUUGGUACUCGAGGUCUCAAGUUCGAAUCCUAGUUGAUUCACAUUUCCAGCUAAGUUUAUUUCUAAAUGAAAUAAACGAAGUGGGUAGCAUGCAACUCGUUUUGAUCUGAACAAUCCGUUUCCCCUAGUUCUUCCACCGUUUCGUUACAAAUUUGGGGAUAUCCCUGGUGUCAAAUGCAGCCUAUAAGUACUACAUCACAAGUGGGGAUGUUAAUGGGUACGGAUACCCGAAAUCUUAUCCGACCCUGAAUCCGAAUAGGGUGGAUUUUAUCCGAUAUUAAACGGAUAUGGUUUCAAAUAUAGAUAUCAAAAAUAAAAAUCUGAAGGAUAUGAAUUCAGAUAUGGAUUUUGACCGAACCCGACCCGAAUCCGAACCCGAACCCAACCCGACCCGAAUCCGAAAUUAGUUUAUAUUAGUGUUUGAUUCUCAAAAAAAAAAAAAAAAAUCCAAAUAGACUGUUUUUUAAUCUCUCUCUCUAAACAUAUAAAUCUAUAACGAAUACUUUUCUAAAUCCUAAAUCCUAAAUUCUUAGCCUAAACCAUCAACACAUUUAUAUGUAGAAAGAUAUCAAUGCUAUUUUAUACUUUGAAAAGGAAUUUAUAAAAUUACCAUUUUUGAGGAGAGUACGUAAUGGUAGUAGUGCAACCCAAAAUUCCAAGGGCUAAAAGUUGGGUUUUGUUUUAUCAACUUUUUUUUUUUUAAUAAAUAUUAAAAAUCUAAAAAUUUUACAAACACUUAGUUGAAGGGAUGUAAACUAUAUAUUUUAAAAUUUAAGCUAACUACUCACUUUUAAAAAUAUAUAGUUACAAAAAAAUAUAAAAUAUACUAACUAAAUAUGUAAAUAUAAAUGACAUAUUUAACUUCUGAAGUUAAAGUAUCAUUGACCGACUCAAAUCAAACAAUUCAUUAAAACUUAGAAAAGUUGAAAAGCCAAUUCAAAAUUAUCUAUAAUUCAGCUAUUAUCUAUAAUUUAGCGAGGUUCUACAGUACGUCUCUUGUGCUUUUGAAAGCAUGAAAAUCUCUGUACUUGUAAAUUAUUUUUCAAUGAUGGGACAUCCAAUUUAACGAUCGACUCCAUUAGACAUGAUCUACGCUAUUAGAGCUAUUUACAAACCAAAUUUCAUAAUUUCUGACAUUUUUUACCGGGUGAUCAAAUGGUCUCAAAAAUAAUUAUUUUAAUGGUCAAUGUAGCGCGUUUGUAAGUUCAACGGUGUAAAACAAUCUAAAGUAGAUGAAACUUUAAUAAAAAAUUCUAUAUUAUAAUAUCAAGAGGAAGAUCAAUACUUUCGAUUUGAAAUUUAAAACUUUCAUUUGUAUUUUUUUAUAGAAUUAUUAUUUACAAUAGUUCAUUUUGAGGCUUGUUCAUUAGACAUACGAAGUCAAAAAAUUAUAAAAUUUAGUUUAAUUCUAGAUAACUUCGACAUUGUGGAUCAUAUUUAACGGAAUAGAUCGUGAAAUCUGGUGUUCUAUCAUGGAAAAUAAUUUGCGAGCACUAAAAUUUUAGUGAUUUUUAGUGAUUUCCAAAGCAUAGCAGCAUAGCUCCUAAAAUUUGAAGCGUAGAAAUUAGCCCAAAAAAUUAUGAAAAAACUGCUUUUACAGAGAAGUUUUUUUUUUUUUUUUUUUUUUUUUUUUUUUUUUUGCCAGAAACAGUUUCUGAAAUAUUUAUUAAAAAGAAAAAAUAUAUAUAUAAAAAAAUUAAUUUUAUACAGGUUCAUGUAAAUAUAGUGAGUUGUAAAUAUAUUCCUACAAAGUUUAAUUUUUAUAUGUUGUCUCUAUAAAAAUCUUGAUGUUUUCAAAUACCCGCUUGUUUGUUACCGUUAAAGCAUUAUUUAUUUUAUAAAUGAAAUGACCUUUUUGCCAUCACAAAUAUAUUCCUCCAAAAAUUUCAACUAUUAAUUGAAUAGGAAUAGAAAGGUCAAUUCACCUCAUUAACUAGAAUUAAAUAUUUUAUCUAUGGUUAAUUAAUUUUUUCUAACAUAUCCUAAUGAUAGGGAUAUUUUUAAAAAUAUCAGAACUUUUGUAAAAAUAAUAUAUAAAAAAUUAACUUUGUAGAAUUAUAUUUGUAAUUUACUGUAUUUGCAGCUCCCUCUUAAAAUAACCCUAAAAAAAAGGGUCGGCAAAAUUUCCCGCUUUCUAAUGUACUCCGCUGUUAUUUUUGUUGCCCCAAAAAUGCAAUACAUUAGAAGAGGUGAUUCUCCUCCUCCUCCCCGUCUCCUUUUUUUUUUUUUUUUAAUGCCAUAAAUAAAUAACAUCUUUGAUUUCUUCUCCAUUGAUCAAAUUUCUCCUUUUUUUUUUAAUGCCAUAAAUAAAUAACAUCUUUGAUUUCUUCUCCAUUGAUCAAAUUUCUGGUUCAAUCGCAUGAAACUCAGAUGCAGAUCGAUCUUCGCUGCGAAUCGCUUCUCAGCUUCCCCGCCUCCGAUUCUAACCUGGCACUAGGGUUUCAGUCACUGUUACAUUGCUGAAACAUUUAUUUUAACUGGUCAAUUAUUAGGGUUCUGUCCUAAAUAAACAUUUGACUCUGCACAUUUAAGCUGCAUCUUGAAUCCUAUGGCUAUUUUAAUCACUGCUGUCUCAGUUAUUUUGGUUUUGUUCUUUGAAGGAGAUUGAAUGUGGUACCUAUUUUUUGCCAUGUUAGCACCAAAUUAUGUUUUCCGUCCCGGUAAACCCGCUUUUCGUCAAUGUCCGUCAAAAAUUGGAAAAAUUUUGGGGAUUGAUUACUGUUAACCUAGUUAAAGGUUAGUUGAAUACUUGAAUUAAUCUUUUAUAGUAUGCUAGCUAUAGUUUGCCGUGUGUGAAUUGUUCUUAUUCAUUGUGUUUAUAAUUACAUUGAGAUUUUGGAGGAGUCGAAGUCGAAAACGCAGUGAUGAUUUGGGAAAAAUUUAUUAUUGUAGAUCGUAGAGUAUGGCUUUUUGCAUAAAAGGAUCUUCCGAGCUCGUUAUGCUUGCUUUAUUAUAUCACGGUUUUGCUUGCUUUAUCUGUUAGCAGUUGCAGUGAUUGUAAAGAUGUCCAACAACAUUUGUGCUUUUAUUUGUAAUUUAAAUUUCGGUAUCAAAUGCUAGUUAAUGUGUUGACUAGUAAAGUUCGUAACCAAAACACUCUAUGUAAUCGAUCUUGGACGCAUUAUAUCAACAUUGCGACGUUUUAAUUUGUUUUUGUUUUGCUUGAAAAGAUUAGCUUGCGAUGUUUCUUUCCCUAAUCAGGGUUACUUUUUCUUGCUAGGAGAUAUCUAUUUCUUUAGAGGCUGAAGCCGAGUUAUCUAUCACUACUCGGUCCAUAUUUAAGUAUAAUGUGUUGCUACUUUCGGUAAAUGCAGCGGACCAAUUUGUAAUGGCCUCCCUGUCCUUGAUGAUCAUUCUCUGCUCACUACAAUGAAGUUUUGUCUUUUCUUCUUUUGUUAGGAUGCCGCGCGGAUUAUCAAACUUCGAACACAAAAUUGUCCUGAUUCGAUCAAAUUUCAGUAUCAUGGCGCCCUCAAGAAGCACACUGAAGGACCAAAGCAGCGAAAAGAAUGAGCAGACUUCUAUCAGGUGGGUCUCCCUUGUGUAAUUUCAUUACUUCAUCAACAUUUUUGAGUUUGCAUUUGUCAAAUAGAAAGAGAGAAAGGGAAAGGACAGCGGAUAUAGACAAAGCAACCCACUGACAUAUAUUUCACGUUACUAUACAUUCAUUCGCUAUUUAGUUUCUUGAGCGAAUGAAUUUCGGCUUAUAAAUUCCGUUCUUUCCUGAGAAAUUUAAUCACUUUUAGAAUGAGCUAAGUCAGGAACUGUGUUUUUCGACUAUUACUGCUGUUCUUAUCAUCAUGGAUAAUCAACAUAAAUCAUACUUUUGUUUUGGGUUGUCUUGGACACUGUCAUGCUUUUAGAUCUUUGAGGCUUAUAAUAUUUGCAAGCUCAAUUUCGCAUAAACAAGCAUGCAAAUAUUUGUUCACCGAGGUAGAAUGGCCAAAACCAAUAUUAGUUUGGUGUAUAUUGGCCGUGCUAAAGAAGAGACUUAUCUUAAGGAACCAUUGUUUUGAUCAAUGAGCAACCUAAGAAGGAGGUGGGCGUGAAUUAGUGAGCAAUUGAAAAAUUGAGUGCUCCAUUUUAAUUGUUGAACAAGCACAAAUAUUAAUAUAUCAUUCCGAAGUCUGGAAGGACCUAGUCUGAAAAUCUGAAUAUCCAAUCUGCGGUGGUUGACUGUCCCGGCCAAUUGCUGUGGAAAUAAUUAGCUGGCUGAGGGGUAAAAAAUUUCUUUUGUUGGUCAACCGGCCUGACGGAACGAGGAUUGGAGUUUGGCCAUUUCGAUUGAUCAACAUGCUUCUGACUUGUUUCAACAGCUCCUUCUCAGCCAAUAUUUUAUCAAAUUUGAAACUAAUUUCGGCGCAUGAACAAGUAAUGGAACGAGAAGAUAGUUAAAAGUUGGGAGAGUAUGUUAAUAGAGUUCAAGUUGCGUAAAUUUGAGUAGAAUUCUUAGACUUAUCUAAGAUUUAUCUUUACAUCAGAAUCUAUCUGAAAUUUGAAAUUUUGACCUCAUAUAAUUUCUAGCGUCCCUAUGAAUCAUCUAGUGGCCGUCUGAUCCAUUUGCUUGGACCUCAAGGCUCCGACUCCUUGAUGCUUCCUUCUCUUAAAUUGUUUUAUUGAUUUUGUUGCGAAAGACCAGCACCGAACACCAAGUUCAUAGGGCAGAAAAGAGAAGAAAGGAAGAGAAGAAAAGAAAAUGAACAGAACAAUGAAAUUAUGUGGCUUGGAUCUGAUGCCUACAACCGUGGGUGAAGGAGCGAAGAUUCCGUAUUAUAGUGAAUAAUUGGAUUCAAAAAGACGACAAGCUUGCAGAAAACGUGGCCUAAGAACAUCGUGUGCUCCACAUGAGUAAUAAUUCCUAUGAAAAGGGGCAUAAGUACCAUAUAAACGAUUCCAAAUAGGGUCAACAAAACUCGUGAAUAUAAGGUUGAAUCUGAUAUUUAUAGCCUGAAAAGGUACGAAGCGAAGACAAAUGAACAUGCUGCUGUACCAAUGUGUGACCUGUAAUGCAAACCAUCUCUGCCUUGAGCAUAGCUUUGUGUCUGCUAUGUUAGGAUUGAUUCUCCUCUGUAAAAUGUUAUCCAAGUCUAUGGUCACUGAAUCCAGAAUUUCAUCCAUGGGUUGCCUGAAAAUCUCCUAAAAGUUUCUCUAAGGACUUGAGGACUUAUAGAGCAUUGUUUACAAAUUUGCUCAUAAAAAGAAGGAAUCUGCUUUCAUAAUCAUUGUCGACGGGAUUUUUUUUGGCUAAGCUAUGACGGGCAAACUUCCAAGUAUUCAAGUUUGGAUUGUUGAUUGAUCUAUCUAUGUUCUUUGGCAGUCUAGAAAGAUUCAACUUGACCGUGAUGGUUUGAACGUUGCAUCUGUCAUCAUCUGAUGGAAGUUGGUGAAUAUUUUUUAAAUGAAUAUCUAGUUUGAUCGAUCGAACAAUGUUAUUGAGCACAUAAUAUUGAGGAAGUUUGAUUUGUUCCACUAGGUUGAUUAAUCAGAGUAUCAAACCGGGCAAAAUAUUAGAAUUUAACAGAAGUAGAGCUAACUGCCAUUGAUCUUAGUUAGUGAGUAAUAUUUCAGAGUUGGAGAUCCUAUAUUAUUUGCAUCUUAGCUCUAAUCCAAUGUAUAAGAGUGUGUUGUAAGCAUUGUUGUUCAAAGGGCUAUUCUACUCUGCGUAAUGAAACUAGUUGUGGGGGGAUGUUAACAGAUACGGAAACCCAACAUCUUUACCUAAUUUUGAAUCUGAAUGAGCUAGAUUUAACCAAAAUCAGAUGGGAAUGAAUUCAAUUAUGUCAGCAACAAUCCGGAUUCUAGCAAGUUCUGUUUUGAUUACCCGAAUCAAACCCAAAUACAAAACUAUGCCUGAAUCCAAACCCGUAUACAAACCGUUCUCUAGGGCUUGAUUUAAUAUAUUUCAUUGAAUAAUUGUGUUCAGUUAGGGGAUUCACGUAUGACUUUUUUGAAGUGGGUUCACUUUUGGUUAUGGAUUUUUAAAACUGUUUGAUUUUGUUUAUGGUUUCGGGUUUUCGGGGUUGGAUUUUGGUUUUAGUUUUAGUCUUUCUAAAAAUCACCUGAAUCGGACCUGUUGACAUCUGUAACCAGUGUCCAGAAGUCUUCUUCAAUCUUGUAUCUCUGCUAUUUGACACACUGAAAGUAAACUCACAUGUGGUGUAACGGAAUUUUCAACACAUAAGAAGACUAACAAAAUGAGUGUAAAAGGUUUCAGAUCCUCUGUUGGGUACAUAACUGCAUAUACAACUUGCAUAGUUGAAUAAGACAUUAGAUAACAUAUAAACACCAUUCUAGACUUGACAGAUUGGUGAUUCAGUAAUUGAUGCUCAAGGAGUAUCAAGCUUUUUUGCUCAAGGGAUGGGGUGAGAAAAUUAUCCUCACACCAUCAAAAGAAAAACUCGAAAAACUAAAAACUACUACUAAGUUGUCGCAUUUGAUGCUUAAGGAGUAUCGAGCUUUUCUACUCAAAAGAUCAUGUGAGAAAAUUAUCCUCGCAUAAGAAAGUUUCAAAGUAGAAAACUCCUGCAUCAAAGCUUCAAACCAGAAAAAAUAGUAGUCUUCUACAUUUUAGCCACUAGAGAAGAAUAUGUAAUGUCAAGCUCUCCCGAUCUUGAGGCUAUCUAUGAAGCUCCUCUGGUUUUUGAUCUUCCAGUGAAGAUAGUCAAGGUAGUCUCUAAAGCUGCUGUCUUCGUAUCUUUUUGGCUGCUGCCCAUCUAACAGCUCUUUGGCGGUGCUAACCUUCUCGUCAAUGGAAAGACCGUGAAUGCUGGCUAUUGAGAUCCUUCUAGUGUCGGGGUUGAGAACCACUCUGUGGAUUAGAGUCUUGAACUCACCAUUACUCAGCACCUCUAGAUGGUCACCUAUAUGGACAUGAAGGGCCUCGGGCUGGUGUGGGACUGCUCUCCAGCACUUGUCGUCGUGGUCCAUGACCUCGAGGCCGUUGCAGCUCUGGAGCAGGAUAGUAAUGAAGCCAUAAUCAGAAUGGGGAAACAACCCAACCAUGACAUCUGGCUGGGAAAACUGGGGAUAACCAUUUACUGCCAACAUUUGCAUGCCCUCCUCGAGCUCCUUGCGCAGGUAUGCCGGGCCCAGUCCUAGGCUUUCUAGUAUUGCAUCCAUCAGUUGCAACGCUAGUUUCCUGGCUUCAAUAGCAAACAUUCCCAUCUUUUCCCUGAUCGAAGGAAACACUAAGCCCUAUGAGUUAGGCUUAUAUGUUUUCUCACAAUUGAUAUAUGAAAGAAAACAUUAGUCUUUCAAUGUUGGGUAGUAACUAGCAUGUAUACCUGUAACUUGGUGGUUCUGCAGGCCACAAAUGGAUCCAAUCGCUAAGAGGGUGAGCAUAGUGCUUCAGGAAAGAUCUUGCCUUUCCGUCCUUUGUGCCCGUCUCGUAUCUAACUGGUCUGCGGAUGUCAUCUGACGCAAAUUGUCCCUUAGCCUCUUUCGAUAGUGCAAAGAAGUCGGAAGCAGCUUCAAGAGCACCUUUCAUGACUGAUUGGCUAAUUCCAUGGUUUACUACCUGCAUAACAAAGCUAAAUUUGAAUUCCGUGUUAUUCUCCACAUGUUUAUAAAUGUUGGUUGUUUAUCGUUUUAUUUAUCUCCAAGUAGCUACUGAACUUCUUAUUAACUAGCACACUGGCAAUUAACUUUUAGAAAGUUGGCAAAAGCCUUUAUACAGUCGGAGAUUCUCCCUUAUCAUUUCUUGCUAUUUGUGUCUUUGUCAGAUCGUGCUGUUAUACUCUUUACAGUGAAUAAUUGCAUAUGUUUAUGUACAAUGAACAACCAUUUACGCCAACCAAUUUCUACUGUAGGAACAUCUCAAGCUGAUGAUGUUUAAUUUGUUUACAGCAUGUAGACACCUGGGUGGUAUGUAAUUGACAGUUGCAUUCUACAAGUACUGUUCUAAUCUUAAGCAAGUGUUUCUGUACAAUGAAAACUACAUAAACCGAUGGAGUUUGAAACUAGAAACAACUCAAGCUGAUGCUGUUUAAUUUACAGAACAUAUAUAAAAUCUUGGUGGUAGCUAGCUAGUCGACGGAUGUGCAUGUUGGUACUGUUGGCGUCUUUUGCGAUCUUCUCUCAACAAGUUUGCCGCAUAAAAUACCAUGUGGUGAUGGGCUAAUCGUAACCAUGUGGUUACGUACAAUGAGACCCAUUUACACUGACAAAGUUCUGCGCUGGAAAUAUCUCAAGCUAUGCUGUAUUGUUGAGAGAUCUAGACAUCUUUGUUGUAACUGCUCGGCAGAUUUGCAUGUUGAUGGUGUUGGUGUCCUUUGGAGCCUCUUCUCAACAAGUUUACCACAUAAAAUAUCAUGUGGUGAUGUGCUAAUUGUAAGCAUGUAGUUCUGUAUAAAACCAUUUACGCUAACAAAGUUCCACAAUGGAAACAUCCGAAAGCUAUGCUGUUUUAUUUGCAGAAUCUGAACAUCUUGGCGGCAGGCGAUCGACGGAUGUUCGUGUUGGCGGUGUUGGUAUUUUCCGCAGUUUUCUCUCUACAAGUUUAUACAUAAAAUAUCAGGUGAUGCACUAAUCUAAUCCUGUUUUUGUGUAGAGUGAAAACCAUUUCAACAGCAAAGUUCCAGUGGAAACAUGCUGCUUCAUCUACAGAACCUAAACAUAUUGGCGAAGGCUGUCGACAGUUGUGCAUGUUUGGUGCAUUCCGUAGUCUCCUCUCUACAACCUUACCACAUAAAAUAUAGAACGGUAAUGUGCUGAUAUUAAGUAAUUGUGUUUACAUACAAUGCAAACCAUUUACAAAGAUUCAAGUUGACGUUGUUUAUCACAGAACCCAAACAUCUCGGUGAUACACAAUCGAUGGAUGCAUGCGCACGAUGGUGUUGACGCCUUUCGCCGGUAUCCUCUCUACAAGUUUAUCGCAUAAAAUACCAUAUUGUGCUGUGCUAAUUGUUAUCAUUUCUCUUGUAUCAUCUGCAGAAAGUGUUGAAAGUGUGUACUGAAAAACACGCUUGCCGACUGUUUCAUCAACAUGAACGUAGAGAAAGUUUCAUUCGUUUGCGGCAUGUAGCAGACAGCUAAGAUAUGCUAAACUGUCAACGUGAAGGGAAGGAAGAAAAGAAGCAUACAUUACCUGGAAAUACCCGUGUUUCCGGCACGCCUUAGCGAUGUCUUUGAGCAUGAGAGAUCGUUGCGCGGAACUCUGGUUAAGCCUGCAGAGGUCGACGACCGGUAUCUGCAUCGGCUUAGCUUUAGCUCCAACCGGAAUUGGAGAAGGGAUGCUCUGCGGCAGCGCGCUCAAGGUUGCUGCUAGUGCUUCUGCUUCUGCUUCUGAGCACUGCUAUGUUCUACAGGAGAGUGCAAUAUAUGAGGCUUAUGGACAAUGCUCAGAUGGGGUGUGGGAUAUUUAUAGGCUUCGUGUGGCAGCUACUGAGCACUGCUAUAUUCUAUGCAUAGUAAAUGUAGCCACUAGCUUAGCUUGUGGAGGGGAAAUGCUUUGCAUGUGAACCUCAAAGAAGCUGUGGGGAGAAGCUGUUGCUUUUGGGUCCAGGAGCAGAUCCCAGGAGCCACUCUACCUUCCAAAUAAGCUAUUUUCUUGUGUCCUUUUUCUAGUUUAACUACUAUUCUAUAUAGUAAGGAUAAGAUGUUUCUUUUUCUUUUUAAUUAUUUUGAGGAAGAUAGUGUUACUAUGCUUUCCACUUUGUGCUUCUUUUUCUAGAAAUAAAUUCAAAUAAAAAUAUAAAGCAAUUAAAUUUCAAACUUGGGCCAUCAAAUCUUUUUAGACUUUGUUUGGUUCGGAUAUAAAUAAGAAUUGUUUAUUCGAGAAAUAGAUACAAGUUCAGGUGUAAGUAAGAACUAAAUUAGUUUUAUGUUUGGAUGGAAAUUUGAUUGUUUUCGAGAAUAAAAAAAAUAGCGUUUGGAUAGAUAAAAUGAAAUAAGAAAAAAUUAAAAUUUCAAAUCACAAAUUUCAAAAUUCAAAAGUUUAAUUUUAAAUUUAAGGUCAAAUUUAAAUUUUAAAAAUGUAAAACAUUAAAUUUUAAAUUUAAAAAAUUUAAAAUUUAGAAUUUAAAAAAUUAUAAAUUAUAAAUUUUGUAAUAAAUUUAAAUUUAUAAAUAUCUCUCUCUCUCUAGCUAAAGCUAGAACAAGCUUGUUCCACCUAAGGGGUGGGAACAGUAGUUCCCACCUCUCUUUUUUUUUCUUUUUUUUUUUUUUUUUUUUUUUUUUUUUGUUUGGGUACAAAGGAGGGAAUAAGAUCUUAUUCGAGCCAGAUUAUCCAUCAAGAUUGCUGCGAGAGUAUUCAUGUUCAUUGCAAAAGUUGGACAGUUCCCUUCUCUACCAGCUUCAUCCAGGAACUGUACAUCGUCAAAAGCCAUGAAUUCUGGUGGCUCUUCAAGUAUCAAUCAAGUAAAAUCUGCUGUACACACAUCUGGCGAAAAGAUGGUCAUUGCAACGUCAGUACAUAGCAUAUAGGCCUAGUCCCCAUCCAUCCUCUCUUAAGUAUUAUCUACCGUAGGGAUUUUUUUUUAAGUACUAAACAAAUAAAGAUCUUUACUUUCACUAGUACUUUUAUAACCUUCAAAUCUCAGGCAAAAAUAUAUCUCUAACACUUCCAUCGCUAAGCAUCGUAUACAAAGAUUGGACCGUGAACUUGUGUUCCUUAUUCCAUCGUCCAAAAUAUCUUAUCCGGUUCGUCAACAGCUUUUACCACCAAAGCAUGCGCUUGAGUUCCUAUACUGCCUAGUUACUACUUGACUCGCUGAAUUAAUCUCCUGAAAAUUUUCCUCCAUCUCCCAUCCUUUGCUAGCAUAAUAUUCUUUACAGUAACAUUCUUAAGCUCCACUUUAUCAUAAACCUCAGGUACUAAGAGAGCGUAACGAGAUUUCACCACACCAUAUAUCCGACAAAAGUCAAUAUGCCGGCCAAACUCACAAAUGAAGCAUCCCUAAGCUUAAUCACAUCAUCCACCACAUUGAGGCCGGGUUUAAAGGACUUUCCUUCCCUCUAGAGUUUUCUUCUAUUGCCUCAAAUGUUGAAAUCAAAAGUAUGUGAUCAAAAAACUCAUGACUCAAAGUUUAGGGACUAGUAAUGCAAUUAUAACAUACUACAUAUUAUAUAUAUAUAUAUAUAUAUAAUAAAUAUAUAGAGAGAGAGAGAGAGAGAGAGAGAGAGAGAGAGAGAGAGAGAGAGAGAGAGAGGGAGAGAGAGAGAGAGUAGUGCUACAAUACUCUUAUGAGUAUAGAGUCCUUCGUACUCAUAAGUUAUUUUCGAUGUUCGGGCUUCCGAAUCGACGAUCCACACCGUUAAACAUGAUCUAGAGUAUUUGAAACUUCUAGAAAAUAAAUUUCGUAACUUUUCAAAAUCAUUAUAAAGUCCAUCAAGCCGGUAUAAAAUGAACGGUCAAAAUCGAACGACGUCCUAAAAAUUGAUGAUCGGAUCCUUCAAUUUAAGAUCGGAGUUAUUGAUCUUUAUUUAGAUAGUGAAUAGAAUUUUCUAUCAAAAAUUCAACCUAUUCCGAUUUUUUUUCACUGUUAAACUAGCAAAUAUCUCAUACCGACCGUUAAAAAUUGUCAAUUUUGUGAGCUUUUGAUCGUAAGGUAAAUGAUAUUGAAAAAUUAUAAAAUUUGAUUUCUAAAUGCUCUAGAUAAUGUUUAACGGUAUAGAUCGUCGAUUCGGAAGUUCUAUCAUCGAAAACAACUUAUGAGUACAAACGUGAUCGUACUCAUAAGAGUGUAGUAGCCGGACUCUAUAUAUAUAUAUAUAUAUAUAGAGAGAGAGAGAGAGAGAGAGAGAGAGAGAGAACUAGGCUAGAAUACUAUCAAUAGCAUCAAGCUAUUGGUUCUAUUAAUUUUUUAAUCCUUGGAUUAAGAGAUAUGUGGUUAGGAUGAUGUGGGUCCGCUAGGGUUGAGUGAGUGGUUGGUUGAAUAGUAUAAUCUAACAGGUGGAAAUGAUCAAAGGGGUAGAUCUAUGCACAAAAUCAGAGUUUAACUAGUUAAAUAUGAUUGCCCAUCCCAUAAAGAACUCAAAAUUAUAGUUUAUUCAUCAUGUUGUUUUGUGACAUACAAAAAACAUGCAUGUGUGGUAUAAAAAUUAUUAUCAUCAUUAUUACGAUUUUCCAACCUGUUCAUGGUGCACACGACGCUUAACAUUAAUUUUUUUUAUUAGGACAUGUGCUAGUGUACGUUUUUUUCGCAUUAAUAAAAUUUAUCAUUAGAAGUUGCCGAGUAAAUUAAAAGAGAAAUGCUAAGCUUAUAACUCAAAUUGAUAGUAAUAUCUACAAUUCUUAUGUGGGUUGUUUGACUAUCUACAAAAGAGAUUUUAGAGUCAAUUUUGUUUUUCAAUAAAAUAUUUGAUAAUUCUUUUUUUUUUAAAAAUAAUUCUAUAUUUUACGAAACUUAUUUCUUGAAAUCCAAUUCUCUUAUUUCACCUAAAAAAAUAUUUUAAAAAGAGUAACAAAGUAAAUUCUUUUAAAAAAAAGUAUAGAAUGACAGAGUAAAAAAUGUGCUAAAUCACAUAAAUAGUUAAAUCUAAGUUUUUAAACUAAAGGGUGGCAAAAUAAAAUGCAUUAUACCAAAGGGGGCAAAGCACAACUUGACGAUUACCCUAUUUUAUUUAUUUUAAUUUUAAAUUUUGUACUAACUAUUACAUGCACGUUCCUGUAUAAUGCAUUGUACUGCUAAAAUGCAACCAUAGAGGACUCAUAUCAAAAUCAAAUUUUAGUUAGUUAAAUAUGAUCUAUAAUAUAUAAAAGGUUUAUAUAUUUUAAAAAUAACAAAUAUGAGGUAUACAUUUCAGUAAAGUAUAUGGUUGUCUCUCCCAACCCAUCAUGCACAUGGGUGCACAAAUGCAUGACACUCAUAAUAAUAACACAACCCAUAUAAAGAGGCUACUAUGCUUCUGAAAACACGGAGCCUUCCGUACUUUCAGGUCGUUUUUCAUGUUGCGACUUUCGAAUCGUCGAUCGGCUCCGUUAAACUUGAUCUAGAGUAUUUGAAGUACCUAGAAAAUAAAUUAUGCGAUUUUUCGAUAUUAUUUGCCUAGUGAACGAAGGGGCUCAAAACCAACAGCUGAAAAUAAAAAUCUUACAAAACGUGAUAAUAUGACAUUAAAAUUUUAGAUCAAAGAUAUUGAUCUUGCUUUAUAUAGUAUAAAGAAUUUUCUGUCAAAAUUUCACGUGAUUUGAAUAUUUCUACACCGUUAAACUUGCAAACGGCGGCUCACUAUGGCAAGUAAAACUAUUGAUUUUGAGGCCCUUCGAUCACUAGGCAAAUGAUAUCGAAAAAUCAUAAAAUUUAUUUUCUAGGUACUUCAAAUACUCUAGAUCAAGUUUAACAGAGCCGAUCGACGAUUCGAAAGUUGUAACAUCGAAAACGACUUGGAAGCACGGAAGGCUCCGUGCUUCCAAAAGUAUAUUAGCCUCACACGCUCAAAAUUAUAGUUCAUUCAUCAUGUGUUUUAUAAUAUGCAAUCAAAAAAACAUGUGCCUAAAGUAUAUAUAGUUUUAUUCAUCAUGCAUGUGUUUAUGACAUGCCAAAAAUGUGUGUAUUAAGUAUCAUUAUUUUUUGGCACAUGUAUUGGAUUAUAUGUAUUAUUAUAGUUUAUGAUUUUCCAACCUGUUCUUGGUGUAUGGGACACAUGUUGUAAAUAUUGGCUAGGACAUGUGCCAACAUUUCUACUGCCAUAAACAGUUUUGGCAUUUAUAAAAUUUGUUAUUAGAAUUAAGUUAAUAUAUUUAUAUAAAAAGAGCAAUUUUAACUUUACAUCCAUCGUAGAUAUAGCGGUUUUUUAUAUAUGCAAGAUAGCUGUUACGACGAGCGCACAAAUAAAAACAAAAAAUAACGAUCACAGAUCUAGUCUACAAAGCACAAAAUAGAAAAAAGAAAAUAUAAACACAGAGAAUUCAUGUAGAAAAUCCUUUGCACAAAAAAUUACAAGUGGAAAAAGAGAGAAGCUUACUAUGAAAAAAGAUACACUGUUGUAGAAGAACAAUUCAAUGUAUCAUCUCUAGGGCAAAAAGAAAAAAGAAGUUCCUUUACGUAUUUCUUCAGUAUCAAAUCUGAUUCGUAACACGGCAGCCCGAGCCUUCCGUUUCCACCACAGACAUUUAGGUUUUUUUUCACCAAUUAUUUUUCAUAAUUUGUCGAUGAAUUAGAGAUACAAAAUUAAAAUCGAUAAUCAAAUUUCGAGACAUAUCUAAUUGCGACGAAAUAACAAGCAACCUAUUAGAAUAAAAUAUUAUUUCAAAAACUGAAUUCGGUGAGCCUAUUUAAGCACAACUACAACUUAGAAUUAGUUUUCACAACCUCCAUAUGCAUACUACCUCUAUAUAUCAAAAUGUACUUUUAUAGAUGUUUUAGAAUACAACUUUAAAAUAUACAAGCAACUUUCAAUUUUUUUUAAUAUAUAUUUUUUUUCUUUAACAUCCAAAAUGUCAUUUGAUAACAAAUAAAGUAAACCAUAUGUCUUCUCAAUGGUGCUCACGAAGGGGUUAAUCGAAAGCUAAUCAAAUUUUCCAGUGGUCACAGCAAAUACACCCUAGAGUCACUUAAUAUUAUGUGCCUAGUGUGGUGCACACUCUUUCAUUACAAAUAAAGAUCAAUGUCACAAAAAUAACAUCCUUUUUAAUGCGUACUAUACCUUUAUAAUGUUGUCUUUAUAUAUUAUUAGUUUAUUAGUAAAUUCACGCAAUCGAGUGCAGUCACGAGUCAGUCAAAAACUUUCUCAUCAUAGAUGUUGAUAUAUCAACAACAUAUAAAAAUAACAUUGUGUGGAGGACACAAAGGAUUUUUCUUCUUAGAAAAUAUAGUGUACUAAGUUUUGAAAUAUUACACUAAACUUCGGCCGAAUUAGGUAAAAUAUAGUUGGGAGAUAAUUUAGGCAUGCUUAGAAAUGAGUUUCGAGGGUUCCGGAACGAUUAAAAGUGAAUUAGAGCUCUAAGAAGAGAAAAUGAGAAUUUUUGAAAAAAAAUGCAUUUUUGUGCUGUUGGACCCUCAGGGUUAAGACCACGGCAGUAGUAUCCGAACCUUGGCAGCAGCAUCCGAACCUUACCUACGUAGAAUGAAAAAUGAGCUACGGGUUCCGGACCCUGAACUCGAGGUCCGGACCCUCCGCUCGUAAAAUGCCCAAUUCGGGAGGUUUUUGGCAAUUAUAGCAUUCCCCUUUUAAAUAGGAACCCUCCCAUCUCUCUCUCUCUCUCUCUCUCUCUCUCUCUCGUUUUCUACCUCACGCACAGAAAAAGAAAGAGGAAAAUCCUUCUCUUUUCUCUGCUCUUUCACUUUCAAAAUCUGUCUCCAAGGUGGAGAUUUUGGUGGAGAUCGAGCUUGGAAAGCUUGGAGGAGUGGAGAAUUAAGCCCUAGCGUGUGUAGCCGCUUGGAGAGCUUUGUGGUUGAGGUGUGUUUUUGGAUUCUAGGGUUAGGGUUUUGUUAAAUUCUUUAAGAAUUGAGAUUUUUGAGUUUACUGGAUGAUUCUAUACUUAUUUAAUAAAAAAUUCUCCAUAAAUUUUUUUUGGAGAAAUUGAAAUCUAGGGUUAGAAUUGGAAUUUUUGUCCCUAUGAGGUUUGAACUAAAUUGAUCCUCUAAUACUCUAAUUGAAGGUUAGAGGAGAGCCCUAGACGAUUUUAAUUUGAAAAUCGACGGGCGUUCAGUGAUCAAUUUCAAGUAAUGAACCGAACCGAGCGACGUUGGCUGUAUAGGCUCAAAAGGGAGCGAUUGGCCGUAGAAGCCCAAUUACAAGUAUCUACAAGCAAUCAGAAGCGUGUGAGGACCCGCCAGCAAUAAUAACUCAUUGGGCCAAACCACUGGCCCAAGAUGCUUAAGCACAGUUAUUAUUACUAGUGUGUAGGCUUCAUAUAAACUGAUCAGAAUCAGUAUCUCAUCCAAUGUGGGGCUAUUGGGGCGUUAUAAACUUCCCCUGUUUAGACCCUGAGGUUCUCGUCGGGUCCAAACCAAAUCAUAGACAGACAGACUUAUCAGGACCAGAAUUAUUAGGCGAUGUGAGAUUCUAGAUGUGGCUCCUGCGGGUUCAAGAGGUGGCUCCUACCAAAUCCGUUGGUGUAGCACUUUGUCCCGCAUAGCACUUAGCUCUCACACUUCCGGCUGGUAUUCGGCUCUGAUACCAAUUGUAACGACCCGACCCGCCAGCAAUAAUAACUCGUUGGGCCAAACCACCGGCUCAAGAUGCUUAAGCCUAGUUAUUAUUAGUAGCGUGUAGACCUCAUAUAAACUGAUCGGAAUCAGUAUUCCAUCCGAUGUGGGGCUAUUGGGGCAUUAUAGGUUGUGUACCACCAAAGUGAUUAGGUCACUUCUACGCUAAAGAGUAAAAUUUAUAUUAUCUCAUUGAUGCAUAUAAUGGUAGUUUAAUUUGUGAAAUGAGUAGCCAUAAUUUGUAUGCUACUUAGGAUAAAUUAACUGCUAGUGGACAUGAAACUAGGCAAGUAGAAACAUAUAGGGUAUAUAUAUGCAUGGCUAGGUGUGAUAAUGAACAUAAGUUGAUUAACUCUAGAAAAAUUAGAGAACUCGAUAAGUGAGAAGUCAAGGACCAGACGUCACAUGAAUUAUGAAUUCUACGUGUGGACAACUAGGAUAAAAAAGAACUUGAUUGAAUAUUGAACCUAGUAUCGUUGAACAUAAGUCGAAAAAUAUAAUGGUAGGAUGACCACUUGGACAUGAGAACAUGGACCUAGGGAGGUUGACAUUAUAGGGUAAAUGGUGAAGCCUUGAGACUUGAAAAGUGAAUUUUAGAAUCUCAAGACUUGUGAUUAUGGAAGAUUCUUAGUCGUGGGUGUAUAUGGCAUGUUUCUCUCCCACCGCAAUACCUUUGUAAGCUAGGAUGCAUAUGUUAUGUUCCUCACCCUAUCGGGGAUCUUUGGCCAUGGAUGUAUGUGACAUGUUCCUCUCCCACUUGAGAAUCUCUCACCUAGGGUGUAUGUGGCUUGUUCCUCACUCAUCGGGCGACAUGGCAUCAGAGGUGCAUGUGGUAUAUUCUUCACCUGCCAAGUGGAUUUAAGGCUGAGAUACAUGUAGCACGUUCCUCUCCUCAGGCCUGAAUAAUGAGCGGUAGUCCACUGAUAAUUGACUCAAGACCAAGUCAGAUGGUAUAGUUUGGCUGAGGCAAGAGAAAUCUUAAGAGCGGAAUGGAUAGUGAAAUUGAAAGUAGGAGAGGUAUAUCUACUUACAUUGAUUUCAUUCUUACAUUUACUUAAGGCAUAAGUAUGGAUAGUUUCUUAUUUGCAUAUAGUAGAGUUAUAUACUUACAUAGUUAUAUAUUUAUAUAUUGGAUUAACCUUUAUAUUGCCUCUUUUGAACUUGAUAGGUCGAUCUCUUCUUUCGGGUAGCCAUACUUACUGGGAAUUAUAUUUAUAAUUUUCACUUUCAUAUUUUUCAGAUCCACACGUAAGUGACACGGCGGUGUAAGGAAAGGGCGUAGCUCGAUAGAUAGCGCCCUACCACUUUGUGACCAAGAUAGAUGUAUCCGUGGAUCUGUAUAGCUUAAGGGUAUUAAAAAUAAUGAAAGAAAAUGUAAUCAAAUUUGAUUGUAUUUGGAAGAAAAAAAAUGUAAAUAUAAUAUGAAUGUGACGAAUACUUGUAAUAGCAUAGUUGUUUUAUAUUUUUGAUACUUUCUUAUACAAUAUGUAUAUAAAUUUUGUUCAUAUAUAUUUGGAAUAUUUUGAAUUAUACUGAUUAUGACGUCUUGGGUGAAUAUGAAAAAUUCUGUCCGUUUGGCGGGUCUGGCACGUGUAGGACUCCUUCCAUCUAUUUGGAGAAAGGACGACGGGACACGACAGAAAAAUAAAUUCUAAAGUGGAACAUUCUAAUAUUUAUCGCCCUUUCUUUUGGGUCCGUCCUAAUUUAAGUUUUUUAAGAAUAAUGAUCAUUUUGUAUUCUUUAGCAUGGUAUCAAAGUAGAAAUUUAUGAGUUCUAGUUUCCGUUAGGCUCCUAUGAUUAUUUAAUUAAGCUUAUGUCUUAAGUCUCUUAAAAAGUUUCGAAAUUGGCUUUUUAUUCAAAAAGGAUGCUAAACUAGAUUAAUCCAAUCAUUUGCUGAACUUACAUGCCAAUAAAGUCUACUACUAGCUAGGUUGUGAAAUUAACAAGUGCUUAUAAGAGGCAAAUCAGUUUUAUUGAGUCACGACAAAUUUGAGUAAUGAUUAGAGACCAGAUCCCUGCAUAUCAAUCUCAAUAUCAACAUCACCUAUAUAUAAAUAUGGGGCAAUUGCUUAUAUAUUCCUGAAAAAUUUCUGAAUUUCAGAUUUACCCCUCUUAGAAGGCUAAUAUUAAAAAUACCUUUUUUACGUUCAACCUAUUUCUAAUAUAUCCCUAGGUUAAAAUCUGUUAAUGAACUCUGUUAUCUCUGUAAAAUUACUAUUUUGCCCUUUCAAAUAUAUCCUUCUGUCAUCACCGACUUUUUUUAUUUGUCCUUAAGUUAGGGCUACAAAAAGAAUUUUACUUUUUAAUUUUUUUAAAUAUACUCUUCUACCAUCACCAAUAUUUUUUAUUUGCCAUUAAGUUAAGGACAAAAGUGGUAUUUUAUUUUUUUUAAACUGUGGUAGAUAUUUAAUUCACGUUUAAUCCAAAUUAACUUAACGAGUGGUAACUGUAGGGAUAUUUUGGAAUAACGGAGAAAUAUAUAAGGGAUAUAUUAGAAAGAAAAAAAUAAAGAUAAAUAAAAUAUUUUUAAAUUUUUGAAGGGUAUAUAGGCAAUAAUCCCUAUAAAUAUAUGUCAUAAUAUAGUGCCAUCACUCUCUCUUAUCUCACUAUUAUUAUUUUAUGCUAUAAUAGUAAUUUCACUGUAAUAGUAUAUGUGGUCCCAAUGCUCUUUCAAAGGAUUUUGUUGUUAUUUUAUAGAAACAUAUGCAGCUUUUGGUCCAAAGCAAAUCGAUUGGCGACAUGUUGAUAGCCUUUCAAAAAGACUUUUUCAUUAGCUUCUCGUGUCACCAAUAUAUACUAGUUAAGCAACCCUGCGCGAAACUGUAAAAAGUCAAUACAAUAGUAAAUUAUUAAAAUUAUUAAUAUUAAUUUUUUUUCUAUUAUGCAUUAAUAUUUUUAAAUAUUAUUUAUUUUCGUAUUGAAUAAUUAAAAAUUAAAGAAUAAACUAAAGAAUGAAAUUAAAGUAUAUUUCUUUCUAAAAUUAUUUAAAUCUAAUAAGUAAAAUGAAUAAAUCGGUUUAAAAUAAAACAACAGCUCAUUACAGUAUUAAGAAAGAUAAAUAAUAUUUCUCUAUUAUCAUCAAGAUAGAAUUUAUAAGAAAAAAUAAAAAAAAACUAAGUGGAGUGAAAGUACUAUCUUUAGUAUAAUUAAUGAAGACGUUGUUUUAUUUUAAACCGAUUUAUUCAUUUUACUUAUUAGAUUUAAAUAUUUUUAGAAAGAAAUAUACUUUAAUUUUAUUCUUUAGUUUAUUCUUUAAUUUUUAAUUAUUCAAUACGAAAAUAAAUAAUAUUUAAAAAUAUUAAUGCAUAAUAGAAAAAAAAAGUAAUGUUAAUAAUUUUAAUAAUUUACUAUUAUAUUGACUUUUUGCAGUUUCGCACAGGGGUUGCUUAACUAGUAUAUAUCGGUGACGCGAGAAGCUAAUGAAAAAGACUUUUUGAAAGGCUAUCAACAUGUCGCCAAUCGAUUUGCUUUGGACCAAAAUAAAAAAUAAAAAAAGGGAGGUACACAUACAACUAAUAAAAUAUUUGAUUCCUAAAUUUAAAUUAGCGAAGAAAUCAGUAGGUAAUUAUCAGAAACACAAAAAAUAUAACUAAUCAAAAGACAUGCGAAAUCAAAAUAAAUAUUUUUUACACUGUAAAAGAUUCAACUAUCAAAUAUUAUAUUUUUAUUAUAUAUAUUAAUCCUUAAAAAAUUAUUUGUGAACUAAAGUGAAAAACAUGCAAAGUUUAGAUAUUAGAGACCAAAAUAAAAAAGAGUGAAAAAAUUGGGACCCAAUGUGCAAUUAAUCCUUCAAAAAAUUGGUGUGGGCCCCACAACCUUUCAAAAUAAAGGGAGGUCUUUUCUUGGGUUCCAAAUUAGCGUAUAAAUAAAUAGAUUAUAAAUAAAUAUUGUGAAAGAGAGUGAGAGAGUGUGAGAGAGAGAAACAAAAAAAAAAAAGUGGGCCCCACAGGGCCCCCUGUCACGUCUCGGAUUACAGCGGAAGUCCGGAUUACGUCAACAGAUCCGCCGCAUGCACAAAGAUACACCUUAUACAUACGAAGCGUCAACAAAAUUAACUAAAAUCUAACAAUAAUAGGUAUCAGAGAAAAAUAAAACUAUAUACUAUAGUAACACUAUAACGAUUUACAAGCAUCACCACACUAGUCUUCAAAAUAGUACAACAUUUUUUACCAUUCCAAGUAUCAAAUAAUUGUACAGACUGCUCGCUAAUAGGUGAUCCAACUAUACAUUAAGAAGGGUAGGAGAUGCUAUCUAUCCACAAUCCCCUUAUCUAGAUCAGUCGCUGGUGUUGAAGGCUCUGAAAUAAAAUAUUAAAUAAGAAGGCAUGAGAACUAUAAUCAAUAGUUCCCAGUGGGUACGAUCAUCAACACUGACGGUCUACCACUAUGUCCAUAAGAUGCAAAAAUAGUAAAUACUGAGCAAUAUGAAAAAACAGGUACUAAUAUGAAUAAUUGCCGAAAAUAACUAUUACUAUCAUGCCUCUACAAUAUAGCUGAAAUUAUAAAUUAUAUUUUAUGGAUGCAUUAGUUAGAGAUUAAAUAAAAUACUACAAUAAUGCCUAAUCAUAGUGACCGACUCAACAGUCGAGUUUAGCCUACGCCGCCUCGUGUCCAGCACCCACCUACAGUGGUCUGCUACCACACAAGUUACUGUCUAGCCCAUGCCAUAAUAAUAUCUCAUAGCCCAAAUACCGAGUAUAGUAUCACUAUCAAACUCAACAUAGCGUGCUGAUUGUGGUCAAAUGCAAUGAUCAAACAGAUCAUGAUAAUACUGUCAUAAUGUCUAAAAUACAGUUAUAGUCUACACUCUCUGUAGUUGUUUAUUGAUCUUCAGAAAAAUAUCAAAUAUAUAUAUAUCUCCAUUUACUCUACUAACAGGUAUCAAAGUACCGUAAUUAUCUCAACUAUAUCAAUAGUUCAUCUCACAGAUUAAAUAAUAUAAUAUGGAUAUAGAAAUUAGUCCGUCAAUUUUGACAACACGAAACUCACCUAUAACGCAAGUCCAAGAAAAUGAACGGUAAACGAGAUAGCAGCUACAACACUCUAAAAUAACUCGAAAAUUCCUCAUCAAGAUUACGCGAAAUCCGCUUCUAAAAUGUAUAAAAAAAAUCAGUUUCUAACUCUCAAUUUCUACCAAAUAUUUAGCAAAAAAAUCUAAACGAGAAAUAAUAAUAUUGUGAUACUAACUACAACGUCGAAACACCAAAAAUAAACACGCACCCCCCCCCNNNNNNNNNNNNNNNNNNNNNNNNNNNNNNNNNNNNNNNNNNNNNNNNNNNNNNNNNNNNNNNNNNNNNNNNNNNNNNNNNNNNNNNNNNNNNNNNNNNNNNNNNNNNNNNNNNNNNNNNNNNNNNNNNNNNNNNNNNNNNNNNNNNNNNNNNNNNNNNNNNNNNNNNNNNNNNNNNNNNNNNNNNNNNNNNNNNNNNNNNNNNNNNNNNNNNNNNNNNNNNNNNNNNNNNNNNNNNNNNNNNNNNNNNNNNNNNNNNNNNNNNNNNNNNNNNNNNNNNNNNNNNNNNNNNNNNNNNNNNNNNNNNNNNNNNNNNNNNNNNNNNNNNNNNNNNNNNNNNNNNNNNNNNNNNNNNNNNNNNNNNNNNNNNNNNNNNNNNNNNNNNNNNNNNNNNNNNNNNNNNNNNNNNNNNNNNNNNNNNNNNNNNNNNNNNNNNNNNNNNNNNNNNNNNNNNNNNNNNNNNNNNNNNNNNNNNNNNNNNNNNNNNNNNNNNNNNNNNNNNNNNNNNNNNNNNNNNNNNNNNNNNNNNNNNNNNNNNNNNNNNNNNNNNNNNNNNNNNNNNNNNNNNNNNNNNNNNNNNNNNNNNNNNNNNNNNNNNNNNNNNNNNNNNNNNNNNNNNNNNNNNNNNNNNNNNNNNNNNNNNNNNNNNNNNNNNNNNNNNNNNNNNNNNNNNNNNNNNNNNNNAAUAACUCAAAUUCAAUCCCCCCCCCCCCCCUUUUUUAUUUUGUUUUCCUUUUUCUCUUGGUCGACCUCACUUUCCCUCUCCUUCUCUUUUUCUUUUUUUUUUUUGCCUUAUCGAAAGUGAUAAGGCUCAGGCGUGCCUCUUAAGGCAUGCAUGAAGGCUACGUGGCCACCAAGGAAUAUACAAAGGGAAAAAAAAAAAACAAAAAGACCCCUCAAGAUCAAAUAUUUCGACUUUAGUCCAAAACAAUUAAAUCUUGAGUUUUAAAGUUCGUUUUUACGCCUAUUUUGUACAAAACGUCUCCAACUCAAUCAAACAUAAAUUUAUACUGUAAUCUUGCCAAUUUGUUAAGGUUCAGUAUAUCACAACCCCAAACCCGGGGAGCCCUCGUAUGGGUUCUCAAUUCAUGUACUUAAUUAUUUAUAAAUAGAGAGAGUCCGGUUAUGAUAUUUUUAAAAGUAUAAAAUAUUUGGUGCUCGUAAGUUUUUCACCGUUAAAUUUAUUCCUUUGAUUAUUUUUAUCUGCCAUAUCAUAUUANAUAUAUAUAUAUAUAUAUAUAUACUAUCGGUAACAUACGAGCUCCGCUGCUAUCGAUUUAUUAUUAGUGAUGGAGCCUCCAAAUCGACAAUCGGUAUCAUUGAAUGAUUUGAACCACAUGACGUAUUUAGAAAUUAAAUUUUAAAUUUUUUCGACAUCAGUGGCCUAAUAAUUAAAGGAUUGCAAAAAUUAUAAUUUAAUGGUCAAUACGAAAUAUUUUCUCGCUUAGUAGUGUAAAAAAAUUCAAAUCAGUUGAAAUUUUGUUAAAAAAAACUUGAAACUAUUUAAAGCAAGAUCUAUGCUCUGAUCUCAAUUACAAAAAUCUCAUGAUUACUUUCUGAAAGAUAUUUUUUUCCGACCCUUCAUUCUUUGUAUCCGCUUGAUGUACGAAAAAUUAAUAUUGGAAAAACAUAAAAUCGAUUUAUAGAAACUUUAAGUGGUCUAAAACUCUAAAUUAUAUUCAACAGUCCCGAUCAUCGAUUCGGAAACUCCAUCAUCGAAGAUAAAUUAAUAGCAAAGAAGUUCGUUUGCUUUUAGCUGAACUCUCUCUAUAUAUAUAUAGGGUGCGUUUGAAUUAUAUUAUUAGACCAAAUAUAAAAUUAUUUGGUGUAAGUUUGAGCAGUCUAAGGGUGGUGCCAAGACAUUUACCGAAAAACUAAUAUGUGGCAGUGGAUUUUGGGCUCCUGACUCCUUAAUGAGGCGUCGUUGGGGAGCACCUACUAAAGCUUCAUUAGUUCACUCAUCCCAUCAUCGAUUUUAAAAAAAUAUUUCUUAUUGUACUUUUUUUUCUCCAAUAGAAGGAUUUGAUUGGUUAGAACACAAAUGAUGUGGUGUGAUCUCCACCAGGAUUAACAAUCUAGCUCGCUCGAAAUGAGAUUCGAGAUCGAUUGGUUGUUUAAUAAAUGAGCCAAACAUAAGCUAAACAUUUCAAAUUUUUACAACUUAAAGUUUAGAUCAACUCAUAUAUAAAGAAGCCUAUAUUUUAUAAAUUUUAAUUAUUAGAUUGAAAUUUUAAUUUUCAAAUUUUCUUUCAACUUUUCAUUCGGUAGUGGUGGAGCUAGAAAGCUAACUUAUUGUUCGUGAGUCAGCUUGUAUUAGACUCAUCAAUAAGUAAGCUAAGUAUAAAGUAAAUUUUUUAGCUCAAUAUUUUAACAUAUCGAAUACAAGAUUGUUGACAACUCUGAAUGUCUAAUUGUACAAAAGCAAAACCCUAUUUUUAUAUUAUAUUUAUUAUAAUUCUGAUCAAACUUUCAAAUACUUGCCAGAUUCAAUCAUCCUGAACGUGUCGAUCUCAGCGUCACCAUCACAUCUUUCAAUAAGAAUAAAACCUUUUUUACCCCACCAUUACUUUAUUUCAAAAAAGUGCAAGGGAAUAUGCUUGAUUGACCAUAAGAUUUUGUGGUUAUUUUAUUAAGAAUGAUGUGGCAGCUGUUUGGUCCAAAAGCAGAUUAUCAGUGUGGACUCUUGAUAUCCUCGAAAAUCACUUCCUUUCUUGGCUUUGUCAAAUAUAUAUAUAUAUAUAUAUAUAUAUAUAUAUAAAGAUNNNNNNNNNNNNNNNNNNNNNNNNNNNNNNNNNNNNNNNNNNNNNNNNNNNNNNNNNNNNNNNNNNNNNNNNNNNNNNNNNNNNNNNNNNNNNNNNNNNNNNNNNNNNNNNNNNNNNNNNNNNNNNNNNNNNNNNNNNNNNNNNNNNNNNNNNNNNNNNNNNNNNNNNNNNNNNNNNNNNNNNNNNNNNNNNNNNNNNNNNNNNNNNNNNNNNNNNNNNNNNNNNNNNNNNNNNNNNNNNNNNNNNNNNNNNNNNNNNNNNNNNNNNNNNNNNNNNNNNNNNNNNNNNNNNNNNNNNNNNNNNNNNNNNNNNNNNNNNNNNNNNNNNNNNNNNNNNNNNNNNNNNNNNNNNNNNNNNNNNNNNNNNNNNNNNNNNNNNNNNNNNNNNNNNNNNNNNNNNNNNNNNNNNNNNNNNNNNNNNNNNNNNNNNNNNNNNNNNNNNNNNNNNNNNNNNNNNNNNNNNNNNNNNNNNNNNNNNNNNNNNNNNNNNNNNNNNNNNNNNNNNNNNNNNNNNNNNNNNNNNNNNNNNNNNNNNNNNNNNNNNNNNNNNNNNNNNNNNNNNNNNNNNNNNNNNNNNNNNNNNNNNNNNNNNNNNNNNNNNNNNNNNNNNNNNNNNNNNNNNNNNNNNNNNNNNNNNNNNNNNNNNNNNNNNNNNNNNNNNNNNNNNNNNNNNNNNNNNNNNNNNNNNNNNNNNNNNNNNNNNNNNNNNNNNNNNNNNNNNNNNNNNNNNNNNNNNNNNNNNNNNNNNNNNNNNNNNNNNNNNNNNNNNNNNNNNNNNNNNNNNNNNNNNNNNNNNNNNNNNNNNNNNNNNNNNNNNNNNNNNNNNNNNNNNNNNNNNNNNNNNNNNNNNNNNNNNNNNNNNNNNNNNNNNNNNNNNNNNNNNNNNNNNNNNNNNNNNNNNNNNNNNNNNNNNNNNNNNNNNNNNNNNNNNNNNNNNNNNNNNNNNNNNNNNNNNNNNNNNNNNNNNNNNNNNNNNNNNNNNNNNNNNNNNNNNNNNNNNNNNNNNNNNNNNNNNNNNNNNNNNNNNNNNNNNNNNNNNNNNNNNNNNNNNNNNNNNNNNNNNNNNNNNNNNNNNNNNNNNNNNNNNNNNNNNNNNNNNNNNNNNNNNNNNNNNNNNNNNNNNNNNNNNNNNNNNNNNNNNNNNNNNNNNNNNNNNNNNNNNNNNNNNNNNNNNNNNNNNNNNNNNNNNNNNNNNNNNNNNNNNNNNNNNNNNNNNNNNNNNNNNNNNNNNNNNNNNNNNNNNNNNNNNNNNNNNNNNNNNNNNNNNNNNNNNNNNNNNNNNNNNNNNNNNNNNNNNNNNNNNNNNNNNNNNNNNNNNNNNNNNNNNNNNNNNNNNNNNNNNNNNNNNNNNNNNNNNNNNNNNNNNNNNNNNNNNNNNNNNNNNNNNNNNNNNNNNNNNNNNNNNNNNNNNNNNNNNNNNNNNNNNNNNNNNNNNNNNNNNNNNNNNNNNNNNNNNNNNNNNNNNNNNNNNNNNNNNNNNNNNNNNNNNNNNNNNNNNNNNNNNNNNNNNNNNNAGAGAGAGAGAGCGAGAGAGAGAGAGAGAGAGAGUUGAGCUAAAAUAUUAUCGAUAGCAAACGAACUCUGUUGCCACCCAUUUAUUUUCGAUGAUGGAGUCUCCAAAUUGAUGAUCGGCACCGUUGAAAAUAAUCUAUACCACUUAAAGUGUUUAAAAAUCAAAUUUCAUACAUUUCCGAUAUUGUUCUCUUAUCCAUCGAGUGGACACAAAAAUGAACGGCUGAAAAUGAAUAUUCUUUAAAAAAUGAUGAUAGGAGUCUUGUAAUCAAGAUUAAGAGUAUAGAUCUUGUUUUAAAUAGUUUAAAGAAUUUUCUAACAAAAAUUCAAUUGAUUUGGAUAUCUUUACGCCGUUAAACGAAAAAAACUUCAUAUCGACUAUUAAAAUUAUAAAUUUUGGAACCCUUUAAUCAUUAGGCAAAUGAUAUCGAAAAAAUUUGAAAUUUGAUUUCUAAAUACUUCAAGUGGUAUAGUUCAUGUUCAACGGUGCCGAUCGUCGAUUUUGAGGCUCUAUCAUCGAAAACAAAUGAAUGGCAACGGAGCCCAUUUGCUAUCGAUAGUAUUCUAGCUCAACUCUCUCUCUCUCUCUCUCUCUCUCAUUAUAUUGUAUAUAUUAUUAUAUAUAUUCAUAGUUCGGCCUAUUAUGCUAUUAAUACACGAAGCACUUGGUGCUACAAGUUUUCCACCGUCUUAGAGUCUACCUUUUGAAUCAAUUUUCACACCGUUAGAUUAUAUUCAACAACCACCGCACUCACCCUGAGGUGCGUGUAGAUCUACUGACAUGAUCGACUUGGUGCUAUUAAUAUAUAAUUAGCUACAUAUAAUAUAUAUAUAUAUAUUAAAUAUAUUAUAUUAUAUAUAUAUAUAUAUAUUAUAUAUAUUAAUAUAGUAGACCUAGGCUACUAUGCUAUGCUUAUGGAAUAGCCAUCGAAGUGUCACGCUCCCGGGGUCCCUUUUAGUCUAAAAUAAAGCGGAAAAGCGCAGAAAUUUUUUUUCUUGAAAAAUUGACCCAGAGAGUAUGCCAGAUCCGCGCAGAACUACAGGAAAUCCACUAUUCACCGGACAGAGUCUCACCCUGUAUUUGCACGGGCGUCGCACAAGUACAAGAAGGUUCCAGGCACUAACCACAACAAAUGAAAUACAAAUAACAAGCCGUUAUAUUAUAUUCAUACACAUUCACCACAGAUUCACAUUUAUGCAUAAAUACACUAUCAGUUUAAAUGUUUCAUCAACCACAGAAGAUAGGUUUUGAAUUACUAAGAUACAAAAUCACAGAAAAACUUUUUGAAACGUGUUCCCUAACACGGGAAGUUUAUCGUUUUUAAAAAAACGCUUAUCCACGAGGGUAGAAAAUCUUUUAUUUUACAAAAUCCAGACUUCUUUUAUUUAACGCUAAUGAAAUACCGAACCACAUAAACCAUACUAAACAUAUACAAUCAACGAAAUAAUAGGUGCAUAAUAAUUAAACGAAAUAAUCUGGGUCGGAGCUCUAUCGACCGUAUGUAUCUCACGUCUCGUCUCAACCCUCACCGUUCGCGAUACCCUGAAAAAAUAGUGGGGGAGGUGGAGAACAUAUUAAACAUGUUCUCCCUGCCCAAGUGGUACGCAAGCGAGAUAGGCGAGGAGUACUCACCGGACAGGAAGAGCUAUACAACAACACGGUGUCAGUGGGAAUAUUAGUAUUAAAUAAUAAACGAAAGCAGGUAUGUAGAGCUGACAAGUAUAGGAUGCAGGUAAAUUAAAAUAGUUAGCCAUACAAUAAACAAGAUAAGGACGUACUGGAAUAACAUACAGCUACUAUAUGCAUGCGUCAACUUGACUGAAUAACUUCAAAAGUACCCAAUCUCGCUGCCCUAUUGGUCUGAGAGACCUCAGGCCCAUGGCCACUACUUACUCAACCUGUACCUGACCGCUCGCAAUGAAGUCGCUGGGCCACUGGCAGAAGCAUAUACCCUCGCAAUAAAGCGUCUUGGGCUCCGCUGUUGGCAAUCCAACCACUGUUUCCGAAAAACAACACCCUUUGCGGUGGAUCAGACGCUGAGUGUUCGUUGAAGGUACCUAGUAGCGAUCAAUGUAGUAUGCUCAAAGAUCUUCCAUCGGCAACUAGCCGACAAUCCAGCCCCUCAGGGCACACCGACCGUAUAGGCCAUCAGCAACUAGUAGGCUACGUAUGUCAAGAUAGAACUGUAGCAACUCAACCGAAUAGGUCAUAAAUAUCAAAAUAGGGGAACCGCCCAACCAAAUAACAGAUAUAGUGAACAUAUAAGUCAACUCUACUCCUAAGCAUGAUAUCAACAUGGAACUAACUGAGUAGAGGAAUGCAGAUAUAAAAGCAGGUGCAAGGCUCAAUAUGUAUAUGCACACAGAUAAUAGUAAGAGGGCAAGGGUAAGAAACCAUCACCGAACGUGCACCACUGUACCGACGUCGGAUCGAAGUAUCCACAUGUACAACUGUCGCGCCUGUCUCCUGACUGCAAAAGAACGUCAACAGGACCUAAGGAAGGUCCUCUGGAUUAGUGUCUAAUCCACAACUAAGAAAUACUACAUCGUAAUCCCGCUAACAAACCCACGGAGAUCACUUUCCCAAAACCGACUACCGUAACUCGCCGGAAGUCCCGAAAAUCGCACCGGAACUCAUCGAGACCCACGAACUGUCCCGAAAUGUACCGACUCAAGAUACGAGUCACCCGCUGCCACUAAAUACAAAUUACAUGUGACUUGGCAGCAGAGACCUUAACUCACUCCAAAACGAUUAUCGUCGGGUAAUCGUUCCGAUCCGGAUUUCCGGAGGUGUUUAUUUCGACACCGGAAUCCACCGUCGCUCACCCGUCAUUUCUGAACUCUCGAAAUGACGCGAGUGACCAGCCAACAAGGCUCAGCGACUACACAAUAGCUCACGAAGCACCGUCGGAAUAAUUCCGAACCAAAACCAUGUUCCGUCGGCGGAUUUUGCCGACAAACGCACCGGAAUGCAUUUUCGAUCUUCGCAAAGGUCCGGGGCCUUGGACAAUCAGUCCAGAGGUCACCCACAACUCAUCCAUGCUGCCGACAGCAGCCGCGACGAACAAAGUUGCAUAAAAGCCCUUCCGAAUACCCAAAAUCGCAUUAUUUCAUGCGAUUUCGGCGCUUUUAUGGUCCGUCCAUGCAAACCAGAGGUCAAUCAGCCAAGCCAAGAUACCCACUGACAGGUUUCGACGUGCCGGAGGCCGUGCUUACCUUUCGGAGCAAUUUUGGCCACUGUAGAGAGCGCGGGGGUGACGCGAAAGUCUGCGAAUAGCGCGCACAGUAUGAAAAGCAUGCUUAUCUCGCUAACCAGGGUCUCGCUGACCCUAAUUGAGGUGAGCACUGUGAUCAGCACUGACAAAUGAUCACCGUGCUCACUUCUGGAGGCAUCGGAACAGCCUCGGGUCGCCGGAACAGUAUACACAACCCCAAACAGUGCACAAUAAUUGCAAUACAAGCUUACCGGAGCUAGGCAGGGCUCGGGGUGGCCGGCGGCGGCCGGACGGCGGGCAGGCCGGCCAAGGGAAGGUGCUCCAGGUCAGAGGAGGCCAGGGCUCGCGUCAACAGGCGACGGGAGGCGGCGAUGACGGCGGGCAACGAUGCGCUAGUUGCACAACCCGAGGAGAGCAUGGGCUCACCACGGUUGACAGGGAGCUCCGGCGGCGGGUUAGCCGGCGGUGGACGGGUGCGGCCGGCCAGGCGGAGCCGGUGCUCACGCCGGACGGCGGCGGCGCCGGUGCUGGAUGUGGCUCGGUCUACACAAAGCCCAACCGGGCUGAGCCGAACAAGACGGCGGCGCUGGCGGCCGGGGGAGGUCGGGGGUGCACAUGGGCGACGGCGGUGGUUCGCCGGAGGCCGAGGGAAGGCGGCGCAGUCGAUCUGGAGAGGCGGCGGCGCGCGGGCCUCGAGCCCACCGUGCUCGGUUUGGGUUGACCGAGGGUGGCCGCUGGGAGCAGGGGCGGCGCCGGCGGGGACGGCGCCGGGGAGUUCCAGGAGGGUGGCGCUUCCAAUCCUGAGCGGCAGCAGGGCGAGGAGGAGGAGAUCCCACCACCUCGGCCAGAUCUGCUCAGAUCUGGCCGCAACUGGCCAGGGUGGUGGUGGCGGCGCUCGGGGGCGGCCGGGACGGCGGCGGCCGGCGGCGAUGAUGUUGGAGAAUGGUCUCGGCCAGAGGGUGGAGUCCGAGGGUGUGGGUUCACCCUGGUAGCAGCACAAGUGGGGGGUGAAGGGUGGUGAAGCAAGGAACAAUGGAGAGGUGGAGGAGCAGCCAGCUCCGGCGGCCGGCGGCGUGCUCUGGUGGCCGGAGCGCGCGCGGGGAGAGCAGGGGAACGUGAGGGAGGCGGUUAAGGAAGAGGAGGGGACCCAGGGUUAGGGUUUCAUGGUGACCUAACUCUAUGAUAUAUGUACAAUUACAGAAAAACCCACCUCAGCCCUAUUUUUAUAAUUUAGUCCCUGCCAUUGCGCGUAACUUGCGCAUACGCACCACCACGCUCGAUCUCAAGCGAUUCGGUACAUAAAAUACAAUGACUUUUGCGAAGUUUCCGAUUUGCCACCUUCGACCCCUCAGUGAACAUUUCGCGUUUCCCGAAAAUCCAUCCGUCGGAUUUUCGAUCUGACAGUGCCAUCGCGUUCAGCACGACGGGGACAUCGAAACUACGAUUUCGUUUCAUCCGAUUUGCUUGCCGAUUUGCGACAAAAUCUGACCUCUCUCCAACUAACCUAUAUAUCAUACAUAGGCCUUGGUGGAAACCCGAAAUCCUUUAAUUCAAACUCGUAUUUGAAUUCCCUGCCACCAGUAGGUACUUGAAACAUCUCUCACCCAUCUCCAGAUCACUUGUACAAAGCACGAGGAGUUUUAAAAU